UUUUUUUUUUUGUCCAUUUAGGUUUUUUAGACUGUUUUUUAUCGGUUUCUCUCUUUUUCUUUUUUUGUUUCUUUUCUUUAUUCUUCUUAUUACCUUUUUCAUUUUCGUUUUAUUCUUAUAUAAUUUUUUUUUUUUCAAAAAAGUGCAACUUUGUUUUGAUUAGUUUCUUUUUCAAAUUCGUGAACUAAUUUUCAAAAUCCAUGAACUUUUUUUAUUAUCGGUGAAAUUUUUUCAAAUUUUUACGAUUUUUUUUUAAAUUUGAUGAACUUUUUUUUGAAUGGAUGAACUUUUUCCAAAAAUGAUGAACUUUGUUCAGAUAUGUGAACUUUUUUUCUAAAUUAGUGAACUAUUUUCAAAGUAGAUGAAAUAUUUUUCAAUUUUUCUAAUCUAUUUUUAAUAAUCCAAUGACCUUUUUUCAAUUUCGAUGAACUUUUUUCAAGUUUGAUAAAUUGGAAGCAAAUUGAUGAACUGUUUUCAAAUCCAAUGAUUUUGUUUUUUAUUUUGUAAACUUUUUUCAAAUAUGAUGAACUUUUUCAAAAUUUCAUUGAAUAUGAAAAACAAUCAAACACCCGAAAUAGUCGAACGAACGAAAUAGUCAAACGUCUGAAACAGUUAAAGGAACGGAGCUGUCUAAUGGGCCCUGAAGAAAACAACCCAUAAAGGUUCUCUGCACGCGCCACUUCCCCUAACAGGUGCAGAAGGAGCCGAUUAGGAGCUCCCCGCGCAACAUGCUCGUCGCUCAUGAGUUUUCUUUAUCUUUAUCUUUUUCUUUGUUGAACAUUCGCCGCCCACGAGUUGGCUGGGUAUUUUCUUAGGAGGUAAAUACGGCAACGACGAUCCAUGCAUUGCAACAGAAGAAAAAAAAACAUAAUCUUCAAUGAUGAUGAUCACAUUAUGUUCACACAUCAUCGCUUGAUUUUGAAAUUUUGUGCACAAAUGCAAGAAAAUGUUUCUUCUUUUAAAUUUAUUAAUAAGUUGAAGUAAUCUUUACAUUUUCAAAAAAAAAAUCAUGAUUGUCAAAAAUCUUGGUAACUCAAAGAAUUAUUCUUAAUUUCAAGAAUUUUUUUUAGAAAACAUACAAUAAUAAUCCGAUCCAUCCAACAAUUAAUUCUUCAAAAAUCACACGGGUAUAUUUUUACAAAGACUUAGAAACAUUAAUGUUUAACAACAUACAUUAGAUCUUUCAUGAACAAUUUUACAAAUAUGAGAACAAUUUUAAAAUCGAGAACAUUUUUUACUAUGUACAAACAUUUACUAAAAAUCAUGAAUAUUUUUUAUAUUUCAAACGGGUUUAAAUAUUUUCUUUUGAAUUGGCGACCAAUUCUAGAAAAGACGAACAUAAUUUUUUAUGUUGGAGGAUUUUACUUUAAAUUCACAAACAUUUUUUAAAUACAUGAAGUUUUUCUGAAUAAACAAACAUUCUUAUAAGUCAGUAAUAUAUUUAUUAAAUUCACGGACAUUGUUUUGGAAUUUGCAAAAAAAAUAUAAAAAUCCGGCGUCUUUUUUGAAUCCACAAACAUUUUAUGUUUUCGUCAACAUUUUAAUUCAAAAUUCGUAUUUUUUUAAUAUGCAAAUGCUUUUAUAAUUCUAAAUUAUUUAAAUUAGAAGUAAACAAAAAUGGAACGAAAAAAUUUGAAUAAAAAAAGAAACUAUCAAAACAGGCAUUAACUAUUUUUUGAAAAUUUUAGGACGUUUUUUAAAUGCAUUAACAUAUGUUGAAUUAGAAAGCAUUUUGUUAAAUACUUUUAGUAAUUUUUAAUACAUGGAGUUUGAUUUGAAAUUAUGGACUUUUCUUAUUUUACAAACAUUUUUUCAAACUUGCAAACAUUUUAUUGUAUAUGCGAGCAUUUUUUACGAAAACUCUGAGCAGUUUUUGAAGUCACAAACAUUUUAUUUUUUGAAUAUGUUGAUUUAAAGUUGUAAUUUUGUUAAAAGUUUCAAGGUUAUUUGAAUUUCUCAAUUAUUUAAAAUAGAAAAAUAAAAUGGAACAGAAGAUAAAUAAAUAAACGGAAAUAAAAAAACUGGUGCCUGUGCAUGGGCCGGCCCAUACGGUGUGGGCAAUUCCCAUGACGUACCAUAGAAGCAAUAGGUGCUUUAUUAAUAGGUAAAGAAAUACGGCACGACUCUUAUAACUUGUUCGCUUACAACAUCUUCAACAAACGGGUUGAAUAAAUCACGUGUUUGGGAAAAAAUAGUUUUUUAGCACGUGCAACUGAAUCGAUGGCUUCACCAGACACGUUAAAAUAACGCGCACGCCAAAAACUAUUCCGCGCGCCGAACAAAAUCCUUUUGUGCGCUGUAUUUUUCCGGCAUCCGCUACCGUGUGCUGAACAAAGACUCUAUGACGCUCCGGUAGAUAAGCUACAUUAAUCACAGCCUAAUGGUGUCAUGUCAUCAAGACUGAUUAAGCCAAAAUGCCAUUAAUAAAAAUCAAAGGCAAAUUAAAAAUUGCAAGUUAAAAAUUCAAUAUUCAAAUAAAAAGUGAAAUAAGAAGUUCACAAACCGGAAAACUAAAUUCAUGGUUAGAUUACAAAUAUCCCUUAAGUAUUUGUAAAAUAUAAAGCAAUAUUUUUACAAGUAAUUAAAAGCUCAAAAACAAUUAAAACAGAGGUCAAAAGAAUAGAUAAGAGGCCUUUUGACUUAUUAAAAUAUCCAAACCUAUUUCAAUUGUCCCCAAACUUUUUGUAGCCUUGUCAAAUAUCACAUCAUUAAUAUUUGAUCAAGUGGAUCAUUUUUACAAGGGUCUUUGGUGCUUUAAAAUAUUAUAACAAUAUAUAAAAAAACUGUAGCGGAAUCAUUUCUUUAAAGGAAAAGGGCUACCCCGUGGACUUUGGCCCUUCUGACCGGCCGAGGUGGCCCAGCCUGGCCUCCCCAACCGCCGGCCCGACCGGGGGUAUUGUUGGGGAAUGUUGCAUGUGAAACAAAAAAAUUCGUACGCACAUGAAGACCUAUCAUGGUGAUGUCCAUCUACGUACCCUUGUANNNNNNNNNNNNNNNNNNNNNNNNNNNNNNNNNNNNNNNNNNNNNNNNNNNNNNNNNNNNNNNNNNNNNNNNNNNNNNNNNNNNNNNNNNNNNNNNNNNNCGGCGGCCGGAGCGCGGGGGGCGGCGGCUGGAGCGCGGAGGGCGGCGGGCUGGCGGCGGCCGCUGCGGAUUCCUCCCGCGCGCGGGAACCAACUUCCUCCCGCACGAUGUGGGAAAAUGAGUGCGGGUUGGGGGCAGUUCCCCCCCCCCAACCCUCACUUCUACAGGCUGGGAAGGGGUUUGAGGGUUCGACCUCUAAAUUUUUUUACGGGUUUAAGGGUUUAAGGGUUCUAGUCUACGCCGUUUUUCCGAUGAAAACUGUAAAAAACGGUUAUUUUUAAGGGUUUGAGGGUUCUACUAGAGAUGCUCUAAAGGUUGAAAAACAGGGACAAUCCUUAAACCCAACCCUUAUAAGGGUUGAAUUUGAGGGUUCUAGUCAUUGCCGCAACCUCAACCCUUAAAACUGUCAUUUGACAUAUCAUAAUUUCCAUCAUCUCAAUGACAGUUUGAAGAAAACAAUAAUCAUUAUAGUUAUCAUUACAACACCGAAUAGUACUUUCAAACACAUAAUAAUCAUUCAAGUUAUUACAACAAUGUUUUCAAGCAAAUUACAAUAAUUGUUCGGAUCAAAUAGGACACAUAAAAGUAAACAAAGGUACAUCAUGGGCCUUGGCGCCGCCCAACCAACUGCCACUAGUGAUCUACUAGAUCAUCCCGGAGCUGGCCAUGAGUGUGUGCAUCCUUAAUCUCACGAUGUGCUUGAAGAAAAGCUUGUACGCGAGAAGGGUUUCUUUCCAGUUGCACACGGGUACCAACAUUGUCAUAGAAACAAGGCAAUUUUAACCCUCUUUCAUCCUCUCGACAUCAUCGUCUUGAAGGAACUCCUCAAUGUCCGAAUCGUCCAAUGACGACCAACCGAAAUCAUUGGACAAUGCCUCCAUCUACACAACAUAAAUAAAAAAAUUAUGAGUGCCAACAAUGAAUCAAAAGGAAAAAUUAAACCAAAAAAAAGAAGAAAAAAUGCAUACCUUCCUGCUGCGGGAGGGAGGAGGUGGAGUGGGCGGGCGGCCGGCUGCCGGGACGCGGGCGGGAGGAGGUGGAGUGAGUGGGCGGCGGCCGGGACGCGGGCGGGAGGANNNNNNNNNNNNNNNNNNNNNNNNNNNNNNNNNNNNNNNNNNNNNNNNNNNNNNNNNNNNNNNNNNNNNNNNNNNNNNNNNNNNNNNNNNNNNNNNNNNNNNNNNNNNNNNNNNNNNNNNNNNNNNNNNNNNNNNNNNNNNNNNNNNNNNNNNNNNNNNNNNNNNNNNNNNNNNNNNNNNNNNNNNNNNNNNNNNNNNNNNNNNNNNNNNNNNNNNNNNNNNNNNNNNNNNNNNNNNNNNNNNNNNNNNNNNNNNNNNNNNNNNNNNNNNNNNNNNNNNNNNNNNNNNNNNNNNNNNNNNNNNNNNNNNNNNNNNNNNNNNNNNNNNNNNNNNNNNNNNNNNNNNNNNNNNNNNNNNNNNNNNNNNNNNNNNNNNNNNNNNNNGGGACGCGGGCGGGAGGAUGUGGAGUGUGCGGGCGGCAGCCGGGACGCGAACGAGGGGAGGUGGAGUGGGCAGGCGACGACCGGGGGGUAGGGCGGGGCGGGCGCGGGCAAGAGGCGGUUGGCCUGCUGCAGGCGGCGGCGGGGNNNNNNNNNNNNNNNNNNNNNNNNNNNNNNNNNNNNNNNNNNNNNNNNNNNNNNNNNNNNNNNNNNNNNNNNNNNNNNNNNNNNNNNNNNNNNNNNNNNNGCAUGUUGUUGAAAGAAUUAUGCGCUAUGUGAAAGGUAUUAUGAACCAUGGACUUCACUAUACUAGAUACCCGUCGGUACUUGAAGGGUAUAGUGAUGCGAAUUGGAUCUCUGAUGCUGAUGUGUUGAAGGCCACUACUGGGUAUAUGUUUACCCUUUGAGGUGGUAUUGUUUCCUGGAAGUCUUGCAAUCAAACGAUCUUAACGAGACCUACAAUGGAAGCAUAAUUAAUGGCAUUAGACACAUCUCGUGUCGAAGCAGAAUGUCUUCGAGAUCUUUUGAUGGACUUGCAAGUGGUUCAGAAGCCGGUUCUAACUAUCCUUAUGAAUUGUGAUAACGAGGCAGUUAUUUUCAGAGUGAAGAGUUAAAAGGAAAACAUGAAAUCCAACAAACAUAUAAGAAUGAGAUUGAAGGUUGUCACACAUUUAAGAAACUUCGGAGUGAUAGUGUUGGAUUACAUCCAACAUGCUAAGAAUCUGACAGAUCCCUUUACUAAAGGGCUAUCACGUGUUGUGAUCGAUACUACAUCGAGGGAGAUGGGUAUGAGACCCACAUGAGUUGCCAUGGCAGUAACCCAACCUAUGUGACUGGAGAUCCCAUGAAGUAGGACCUAGGAAAACAGGCCAGUGGUGAACUGAGGAGAGUAACUUUACAACCCACUCCGUUGGAGAUGCAAUACUCUCGGAUAUUGUAUGGUAGGAUGACUACUGUCUUAAUAUGUUUUAAAGCUUAUAUGUAAGCAAGAUGUUGUCCUACAUAGCGAUCUUUGAAGUAACACACCUAUAUGAGCCUGACAAUUGGUCAUAGUCUAUGAGAUUGGGGUCAUCUUUAGUAAACUCAUGAAUAGGCAAGGAGUGUGACUAAUAUGCUCCACCCGAGGGGUCAGCCUUCAACAACCUAGUACUAGUAAGAUAUAUGGUGAAACUUCUUUCCGCAAAACUAACAAUUCAAGGCACAGUCCAUUGUUCAAUUGUGAAGGAGUGUAGCUACGUGUUCUAGGUGAAACUCAAGCUUAACAAGUCUUCACUAAAAUGCUGGUAUAUCAAAACGGUAAUUGGAACAAAGGACAAAAUGGUCCCUUGAGAUGUGAUGGGGGAUUGUUGAAGUCUGAGAUGGGCCUAGGGCUCAUAUGGCAAUUUCAGAAAAAAAAUUCUCUAAGGGCCNNNNNNNNNNNNNNNNNNNNNNNNNNNNNNNNNNNNNNNNNNNNNNNNNNNNNNNNNNNNNNNNNNNNNNNNNNNNNNNNNNNNNNNNNNNNNNNNNNNNGAAGGACGGCCGCUUGUGUGGUGGACCUGAAAUAGGAAGUAUGUUUCCGCAUAAUCAAAUAAUUAAUGAGUAAUCUAUGAUGAAAGAGGUUGAUAUUUUCAUUGCUUGGUGGUCUUUAUGAAAAUAUUUUUCUUCGGGGAAGCUUUAGGUCUUCAUCAGGUGGUUCAAAAAUAUAGACGGUUUUAGGAACCUUUUGGAACAUUUCUAUUCAUUUUUAAUCAGUUUUAGAAACCUUUUGGUCCUGCUUCACUUUUUCCUAGAAAGGUAGCAUUUAAAAAAAGAAACUGAAAAAAUAUCUGACUUCUUAGAAAAUGUUUACGUUUAAAAAUAUUCAAGAAAUUUUAAAAAAAUUCUUCAGAAUUUUCUAAACAAUGCAUUUAAAAUAUCUGUUUGAAAAAUACGUUUAAUUUGUAUUUCAAAAAUAUUCAUGUGAGAGUCACGGUGAACCUGGGGUGCUGGGACCGAGGGCGGGCCAUGCCGGAACAAUCGACAAUGACACUAGCGAGCAGCAUCAAUGGUGACAGACGCACGCUAGUGGCAACUUAUAGUCUGAUCGGUCGGCUAGGACACGACAAGCGAAAGUUUGGGCCGGCCGUCUGGUGCCUAAUGUCCGUCUAUUACCACACUUGUUAUGUGGAAGAAUAAUCUUUAUGUAUGAAACGUGCACUCCCUCGCAGCAACGGGUCGGCCCAUGUAUAGUGGUUUUUCUUCUUUCAUUUCUUUGUUUUUAGGCAGUUUUACCAAAUUGCCUUCAUCAUUUUUAGUUUUCUUAUCCUUUUUGUUUUUACGUAUUUAUUGCAUUUACAAUCCAUGAACAUUUAUAAAAACAAUUGAAUAUUUUUUUAGAUUUGUGGGAAUAGAUUAGUGAACACUUUUAAAUUGUCAUGAACAUCUUUUCAUAUUUGCGAACAUUUUCCUUUUUUGGUAAUAAUUUGAAAUUACUGUACUUAUAUCAAUGCCAGCAUGAACAUCUUUCAUAAGCUGAGAAUAGAUGGGGCAACAUACAUAUAGCAAUGGAAGCAUAUGCGGCAUUGUAUGCAUGUUUGAAGGUUGGUGCAUCGGACUAUGCCAUUAGUUACAUUGAUUUCAUGUCAGAAAUUAGUUUGAAGACAUUUGUUCACCCUCCAUCACAAGUUUCAUCAAGUGUGAUACACAUGUUUCUAGCUUCCAUGAUUCACUCCAUCUCGUGCAUAUAUAUUGCAUAGACUCUUCAGUGUAUAUGAUCACAGAGAAGUGAAAGAUUUGCCGUUGGCAAUAAAAGACAAAUGGAGUGAGGUGGGCCGUGGCCGAGACUAUUUGAGCCUCACCCAUAGGGUGUUAUAGUGACAUGGGCCAUCCCACGCAGGGAUUGGUAGCAAAACCCAAUUCAGUGGGUAAUUCACCUCAAAACAAAUUGACACCGAGUUAUUCCAUUGAGUUUUCCAAGCUAAUCUUCUCUGAGAGGAUCAUCAAGGAGUUGAUCAUGACAAAACCUAUUUGAAACUUGUCGUGUCAAUCUGCCGCACAAAUGUAUAUGGAGUGUGACUUUGGGCUGGCCCAACGAACUAGAAUAGAGGUGGAAAAUAUUGGUAUCACUGGAGAUGGCACACUUAAAUUAUUUCGUCCCGCUUUAUAUAUAAAGCAUCAAUCAACAAUAUCUCGAUCCAAACUCACGCACACAUCCAAGGUGGAUAUAAUGGCGUUCUGCGCAGCAACACCAUCUGUAUCACUACGAAAGUUGUCGGGUUCUCAAUCUUGAACACGCCAUCACAAAAAGACGAGGCUGCAUACGACGAACCGUGCGCUUCAAAGCGACGUCUUCAGAAAGAAAACUACACCAGUGCGCCCCACCGUCCGAUCCGAGCAUCAGGAGGGUUUCCCUGGAGGAGUCAUGGUCAUGGAUGACCCAAAGUUUUACUCGGAGGAGAGAAGGCCACCUGACAUACGUAUCCUAUAUAGAUGAGGUCAAGGCCAUCCUGGAAGAAUGAGAAGUUCGACACACAUGUAGCGACCCAUAGACUAGAUCAGAUUGAUCCAAGGCAUUUUGCCUACCGGGUGGGCAUCGACCUGGGUAAAGGUUGUGCCCUUGUGUCUCGCUACCAAGUAAGUCAGUGCGACUACCAUAUCACUACGAGGCCCUGAUGAAAUUACUCGCAGCAUAUAUGAAAGGUCGCAAAGUGAUGAGAAUACCCUCUCCAAAAACCAAACUGGUGGAUUAGCUUUAGCACCUCUAAUCACAACCAUUGAUUACCUUUGGUUUCUGUGCCAAAAGUCCUAGAAAGCACAACACAUCUUGCGUGCGUAUGUGUAUGUGUGCGCGCGUACGUGUGGUGUUAUUUGUGCAAACUGUGUCUACGGGCUCUUUGUAAUAUAGAAAGUUGUACCCUUACAUAAAGAUCCUAGCCUACCUUCGUUGGUUGUUGACUAGCAACCCGACGUGAAGAUAUUGAUACCCGCCUACCCUAAAUAUUGUUUGUUCGGCGUGCAUGUUAUUUUUUGAAAAGGAGGAACAAAGCGUCCGUCCUCUGCAUCAAUCGAUGCAUGCAGUCAUAUUAUUAUAAAAGAAUAAUGACUAGGCGUGCCAAAAAUGUUUGUCAUUAGGCAAGUUUUCAUACGGUAAUCGCCCACAUAUAUGUUACAAAAUUACAAAUUGUAGAGAACCUUGUAUUCUGCAGACGAGACAAGCUCGGUAAGUUUUGAACAUGAAUUUGUGGUCGUGGCAAUUGGAGGCUGAGUGUAUGGUCCUCUUAGCAGACCAUCAGCAAUCACCCUGUAUGACGUUUCUGUGGGAUGCAAGCCAUCCCAAGAUGCAUAAUUUUGUGGGUUAUUACACACCUUGUAUUCUCCAUGUCCACACUUUGUGGUUAUGGACACACCAUAAGGCCCUUCUACACCGCAGCAAGCCAUCAGAGGAUCCUCGAUCCCUAAAGAGCAGUUACAGCAAAUAAGAGCCGAGACUAGCAUAUGCAUAUCUUGCAAAUAUAUAUGCAUACCAUAAAGAGGAUGUUUUUCUUGCUAGCUGCUAAGUGAUUUCAUGCCAUAAAGUUCUGGACUCACCAAACUUAUAAGGGGAAACAAAGAUCUCCAUAGCAGCUCCAUAGUAAUCAGCAUAGAUGAUCGACGCACAAGGAUAAAGUUUCCGUAACUUUUCCAGCUCAUCCACAAGAAGUUUGUUGUGGUAGCGUGAGAACUCGUUCAUCCAACGGAUACAGCCUGUCUCUGACUCAUAAUCCCCCAUGUUAUCAGUCUGGUACAUCGUGAGGUACACCGGCAAGCACCCGAUUGGGAGGUUGCCGGGAACUACUAGAGUUUUGGCUCCCAAUCCAAUCAGAUCCUGCAAAUUCACUUAGUUACAUUGCAUUAUUAUUUAGUUAUGCACUAUUUCUGUAAUUGGGAUUUGACAUAAUAACGACGGUAAUAUAUAUAGCAUAAUUAAGGAGAAAGAAACAACAAAUGACUCACUGUGAUUGUAGAUGAAAUUUUGGAAAUAACACUCGGAGCGAACGCGCGAAUCUUCUCAACAGGCACCGAAGAGGUAAGAGGAAUGUUGUAGUCAUUUCCCCCAAUUUCUCCAACCAAGAAAAGAGAUUUGUUCAUCAUGCCCACACAAUCUAUUGAAUAAACGCGUUACUUUAUGAAUGUGCAAAGAUUACACCUUAUUUAAUUUAGAAAAUAUAUCAAAUAUGGUACUAAAACAGUGAAAGGCUCACAACAAAUUUACAUCCAUUUAUUUAUGACCCCCUUAUAGAGGAAAUUUGGAAGUACUAUAUCUCUGACUUCGAAUGUCAAAGUUGUCUCCUAUGGAUAACAGUAACGUUGUUGUGAUUAAUUAUGGUAAAGUAAACCAACUGUAAAUUGAUUACCUUUUCUGCUGAAAUUUCUGCAAUCAAGCUUGAACCUCACUACAUUAGCUUAAUUUGGAGAUCAGUAUGGAUCCUGAAAUUAUUGGGCUGGGCCCAUUAUUUAUAACGAAAAAAUCAAUAAAUUUUAAAGGCCCACUCAUUCAUGUUGAAUCUUAUUUGGCGCCCUCAGUGCCGGUUAUAAGCUAUUCUGUAAAGCCGCGCACCCACCUGCCCCUCUCAAUGAAUUUAUUUCCUUAGAAUCAAUGAAUUGUAUUCAAAUUCAUGUUACUAUCAAAUUCUAUGACAUUUUUUCAAUUUUCAAGACUUCUUCAAAUUUCAUGAACGUUUUCAACUUUUUGAAGCUGUUUUAAAAUUUUGGAAACAUUAUAAUCCACUUUUAUAAUUGGUGAACCUUUUCAGAUUUAUGAAGUUUUUUACAAAUCCAUGAAUUUUUUUUGAAAUCACAAACUUUCUUCAAAUUGGAGAUUUUUUUUUUCAAAUUCACGCACUUCAUAAAACUACUGAACUUUUUCGAGAUUCGCAGACUAUUUUAAACUCAUGAAAUUGUUUUACUUUGAAAAAACAGGAGUAGUUUUUUUUUCAGUGAACAACACAACACAAAAAAAGAAAACCGAGCAAAAGAAAAAAGCGAAUGAAUGAAUAAAAGGGCAAGCAAUCUGGAGCGGGGCAGGCUGGGCUGCAGACCUUGAGGGGAUGUGCAAGCGCUACAAACCGUAGUUCGCGGUGACGGCGCUAAUUAGAAGUCUCCUCAUGCAUGGCCUAUUGUGGAACCAAAUUUAGGAUUUGUUUGGAACUGCUGAACUUCAUAAAAAUCAGUUCCGCUUCACUAAAUUCAUUUUAAAGUAGUUUUAUACAGAAGUUGUAAUUAUUUUUAAGGGAAUGUUUAGCUUUCAUCUAGCUCCUGAAUGAAAAUUUUGGUGGAAAGGGGUACCCACUUACUGGUGGUAGUUGCGGGUAAUUUCCUUCCAACUUCAGUUUCUAUAUUUUUUUUGGAGUACCUCUUAAAAGAUUCACAAAAACAUGAAGUUGUACCCCAUAUUCUACUUUUUUUUAUGGAACGACAUGUCGUGGAGCUAUCCGUUUGGCUUUUGUUUUCUGGAGUAGAGCUGAAUUUCAAAAAGCGGAGUAGUCCCAAACAGACCCUUAGUUCCAUAUUGCUAGUGAAGAUGGAGUUCCACAUUGCUAGCCGAGAGGGAGUUUCACACAUAUCUAGUUUUUACGAAUUGGAUGUACAUAGAGACAAGUUUCAGUAUGUUUGUUCAUAUUUUAAUUUGUAUAUAGUUUGAACUAAAAUAUCAAAAACUUUUAAUAUAAAAAACAUUUCAUAUUAAAAUUCAUCAUGAAAUACCCAUCAAAACACCGCAUUAUCAAGAAAAUAGAAAACAUAGGCCACCGUAUUUCAUAUUUAAUCAAACCUGAAGAGCUUUGACUUUUAAAAAAUCUAAAAUAUCUAAUAUACGUAUAUUUAAAAAAAUACUAAUUUAUUUCAUAAAAACACAACAACACCAAUGAUGUAGCAACCCGCACUUAAUCCUUCUAGUGCAUGACCAAUGGUGGAAACCAAAUUGCUAGUGGAGAGGGAGUUACACAUUGCUAGCCGAGAGGGAGUUACACAUUGCUAGCCGAGAGGGAGUUUCACAUAUAUUCAAAAAUCCUUUUUGGUAAUUUUCAAUACAUACAUUUCCUGCUUAAACUGCCGAGCCCACCUCCCAAGGUGAUUACUCCCUCCGUUCCUAAAUAUAAGUCUUUUUACAGGUUCCACUAGUGAAUUACAUACGGAUGUAUAUAUACAUAGUUUAAAGUGUAGAUUCAUUCAUCUUGCUCCGUAUGUAGACCCCUAGUGAAAUAUUUUAAAAAAACUUAUACUCCCUCCGUUACGGUUUAGAAGGCGAGCAUAAAAUUUUUUUAGAACCUAGAUGGUUAUUGAUUGGUUGUGAAAUGAGUUAAAAAAAUAGCAUUCACACUACGCAUGCAUAUAAAAAUAGUACAACGGAGUACUAAUUAGAUGCUAGGAGUAAAUGCAAUACGCCUUAAACCUUGUCUAUUAUGAAAAUGCACGUAAAUUUAACCGUGCCUUUUAAACCGUGACGGAGUUAGUAUUUAGGAACGGAUGGAGUACUUCUUAGGGAGAAAAAUGACUAACCGCUGCAUGCAUGUUUAUGCGCCGAUACCAAACUUGACAUAGGAAUUUUCCCCGCGUAAUGGUACUCCCUCUGUUUAUAAAUAUAAGAGAUGUCCUAACUUUUUAUGAAUUGGAUGUACAUAGAGACACGUUUCAGUAUGUUUUUCCAUAUUUUAAUUCAUAUAUAGUUUAUAUUAAAAUAUUAAGAACAUUUUAUAUUUGUGAACAAAUGGCGUAAUUGAUAGUAUGUAGCACCAGCUCACCAUUCGUAAAACGAAAAGUAGCCACUACUUUCGGGUGUACCACCCCGAGUUUGCAUAAACCUGAAAGACAUGCUAAAACCAAACGAAAAAAUAAACUGGAUAAUUUGAGACAUCAAACGUUACCAAAUGAUCGAGCUACUUGAUAAAAUUUAGCUAACAGUAACGUCCGAAGAGCUCUUACUAAAAAAAUAAAAUUAUUGCUCAAACAGUGCAUAAAAGAUGCAACAUUCAAGUCGCGUUAGAAGAACUUGGUAGUAAAUUUAGAGGAGGCGCAAACCUAACGUAAGAUACAAUCUGUCACCCUGAACUGGGGUGUCCAUGUUUGAAGUUUCUAGCGAAAUGCAUCAUCGCCCCUGGAUCGAGAAAAUAAGCUCACAGAAAUGUUGAAGUGGAUGAAACAUACCGGCUAAAUCACUGGGGCAGAGCAGUUGGAGCAUGUCGCGGAACCAACUCAUCUCCAUGUCGAGGUGGACCAAGUCGGCCCUCGCCGCGGCGAACCCGUGCUCCCACAAGGCUUCCGGGCUCAGCGCCGUGGCGGCGCCCACGGCGAAGUUGGCCCCUCCGGCGAAGUCCUCCGAGCUCCGCCCGCUCCAGUACGGCCUCACGAACGGCAGCCCUAGCGCGUCCGCUGCGUCGUCGUGGCGCACCCACACAACACAACACAAUCCCAGAAUUAGCACGCAUGCUCUUCCAUUCCUACCAAGCUGUUCGGUGGACUGGUCGCAUGCUUGCUCCGUACCGAUGAAGUCGACGGCGAUGCGGCCGUUGGAGAAGCGGCCGGUGGCGCGGUGGAAGAAGGUCUCGCCGUAGGGCAGCCUGGGCCCGGUGCCGUUGCCGUAGACGUAGCGGUAGUUGCCCGUGUCCGCCAGCGAAUCCCCGAAGCUGAACACCCGCGAGUAGCACGCCCGCGCCGGCCGCGCCGCCGCCAGCGCCAGUAGCACCACCGCCAAUUUCACCGGCAACAUUGUGGCAGAGGGAGCCAUGCUGAAUCUCUCUUCCUGUCUCUCUCUUUCUCGUGGGACAUGUGCUCGAGAUGAAAGGAUACAAAGAAUCCACGGGGAGCGGGAGGGGAAGUGACUGCCACCUACUCCACCAAACGGUGGUGAUCACGAUCGCGAUCGCCAGCGCGGGCGGUCGCUUUCAUCCAGCAAGGCAGCAAGUUGCAGGAAAGAUGAUGCCGCGCAUAAGAAGAAACACAAGAGCUUAUUCCUGUAUUACUUUUUUUUUGUAAGCAGAGCUGAGCAGGAAACAAAUAGUGGAGAUGGCAAACACGAGUAAAGAUUGCACGUGACCGUGAGUAUAUAAUAUAGCAGAACGGGAGGAGAGCAACUCCAACGGGACGACCUAAACGGACGACGAUUUUGUUUGCUUUUUGUCCAUUUGAGUCGGCCAAACGGACAUGAACGCCCGCUUCCGCAAAUGGGUUGGCCCGUGCCCCCAACGCUGACCGGACCCAUUUUUGCCGGCGUGAAAAAAUAAAUACAUAAUGCAUAAUUAAACAUUAAAAGCCGGCCACGAAGGCCGGUGAUACGCCCGCAUUACAUUAAUUAAACAUAAAAAAACCUAAAACUACGAGGGCAAUCCUAGGCGUCGUCGUCGUCGUCGUCGGGGCCGGUGAGGUUGACCAGCGUAGGCGCAGGGCCGGCCCAGGGGAACGCCGAGUCCCAGAGCGCAGCUGCCUGCGCCUCCGUCGUCUGCCCCGCCGGCGCGGGCUGUGCUAGUGGCGGUGGCAGCGCAGCAACACGGGCACGCUCCUCCUCCUCCGCCUCCGGUCGCUCCUCCUCCUCCUCCACCUCCUUCUCCACCUCCAUGAGCCGCGGGCCUUCGGCACGCUCCGCCAGCAGGUGAUGCGACUUCCAGUGCUCGAGGUAGGCUUGCUCCUGCUGCGGUGUCGCGCCCAGCCAAAUGGGCGGCGCCGUGACGAGCUCCUAGACGACGCCGGUCCACUGGUAGACCUCCCGCGGCUCGGGCUCGGGCUUCGGCGGAGGUGGCACGACGCAAUCGCUGGCGGUCGACAGCGCGAUGGCCUCCGCGAGCUGCUGGUGGUACGCCGCCUCAUCGUCGGCCCUGCACCGCGCUUCCUCCUCGAUGUCGCGGAGGACAGCUGCGAGCGACGCCUGGUAGGUGGCCUCAGCCUCCUGGUCCUCGUCGCUUACGACAGGAGGAGGCGGCGGAGGGCCUACUAGCUGCACUUCGCGCACGCCACGACGGCGUUGCGCCUCGUGCUCCACCGCGAACCAGACCUCCCAGUUAGGGGAGUCGGCCGCGUACGUGGGGUCUGUUUGAAAUAUGCCCUAGAGGCAAUAAUAAAUCAGUUAUUAUUAUAUUUCUUUGUUCAUGAUAAUCGUUUAUUAUCCAUGCUAUAAUUGUAUUGAUUGGAAACACAAUACUUGUGUGGAUACAUAGACAAAACAUUGUCCCUAGUAAGCCUCUAGUUGACUAGCUCGUUGAUCAAAGAUGCUCAAGGUUUCCUGACCAUAGACAAGUGUUGUCACUUGAUAACGGGAUCACAUCAUUAGGAGAAUCAUGUGAUGGACUAGACCCAAACUAAUGAAAGUAGCAUGUUGAUCGUGUCAUUUUGUUGCUACUGUUUUUCUGCGUGUCAAGUAUUUCUUCCUAUGACCAUGAGAUCAUAUAACUCACUGACACCGGAGGAAUGCCUCGUGUGCAUCAAACGUCGCAACAUAACUGGGUGACUAUAAAGAUGCUCUACAGGUAUCUCCGAAGGUGUCCGUUGAGUUAGUAUGGAUCAAGACUGGGAUUUGUCACUCCGUGUGACGAAGAGGUAUCUCGGGGCCCACUCGGUAAUACAACAUCACACACAAGCCUUGCAAGCAAUGUGACUUAGUGUAAGUCACGGGAUCUUGUAUUACGGAACGAGUAAAGAGACUUGCCGGUAAACGAGAUUGAAAUAGGUAUGCGGAUAGUGACGAUCGAAUCUCGGGCAAGUAACAUACCGAAGGACAAAGGGAAUGACAUACGGGAUUAUAUGAAUCCUUGGCACUGAGGUUCAAACGAUAAGAUCUUCGUAGAAUAUGUAGGAUCCAAUAUGGGCAUCCAGGUCCCGCUAUUGGAUACUGACCGAGGAGUCUCUCGGGUCAUGUCUACAUAGUUCUCAAACCCGCAGGGUCUGCACACUUAAGGUUGAGCGUUGCUUUAUGCGUAUUUGAGUUAUAUGGUUGGUUACCGAAUGUUGUUCGGAGUCCCGGAUGAGAUCACAGACGUCACGAGGGUUUUCGGAAUGAUCCGGAGACGAAGACUGAUAUAUAGGAUGACCUCAUUUGAUUACCGGAAAGUUUUCGGCAUUACCGGGAAUGUACCGGGAGUGACGAAUGGGUUCCGGAUGUUCACCGGGGGGGGGGGGNNNNNNNNNNNNNNNNNNNNNNNNNNNNNNNNNNNNNNNNNNNNNNNNNNNNNNNNNNNNNNNNNNNNNNNNNNNNNNNNNNNNNNNNNNNNNNNNNNNNNNNNNNNNNNNNNNNNNNNNNNNNNNNNNNNNNNNNNNNNNNNNNNNNNNNNNNNNNNCCCCCCCCGGGGAAGCCCAUAGGAAACACCAGCCCUUAGUAGGCUGGUGGGCAAGCCCAAGAAGGCCCCUGCGUAGGUUAAAGGAAAAUCAAAGAGAAAAAAAAGGGGAAGUGGGAAGGAAGGGAAGGACUCCACCUUCCAAUCCUAGUUGGACUAGGAUUGGAGGAGGAUUCCUCCUCCCCUCCUUCUGCCGACCCCCUUGGGGCUCCUUGAGCCUCAAGGCAAGGCCCCUCCCCUCCCACCUAUAUAUACGGAGGUAUUAGGGCUGAUUUGAGACAACUUUUCCACGGCAGCCCGACCACAUACCUCCAUGGUUUUUCCUCUAGAUCGCGUUUCUACGGAGCUCGGGCGGAGCCCUGCUGAGAUUAGAUCACCACUAACCUCCGGAGCACCGUCACGCUGCCGGAGAACUCAUCUACCUCUCCGUCUCUCUUGAUGGAUCAAGAAGGCCGAGAUCAUCGUCGAGCUCUACGUGUGCUGAACGCGGAGGUGUCGUCCGUUCGGCACUAGAUCGGAGCGGAUCGUGCGACGGAUCGCGGGACGGUUCGUGGGACGGUUCGCGGGGCGGAUCGAGGGACGUGAGGACGUUCCACUACAUCAACCGCGUUUAUUAACGCUUCUGCUGUGCGAUCUAAAGGGUACGUAGAUCGGAAAUAUCUUCUCGUAGAUGGACAUCACCAUGAUAGGUCUUCGUGCGCGUAGGAAAAUUUUUGUUUCCCUUGCGACGUUCCCCAACAGUGGCAUCAUGAGCUAGGUUCAUGCGUGGAUGUUAUCUCGAGUAGAACACAAAAGGUUUUGUGGGCGGUGAUGUGCGAUUUGCUGCCCUCCUUUGUCUUUUCUUGAUUCCGCGGUAUUGUUGGAUCGAAGCGGCUCGGGCCGACAUUACUCGUACUCUUACGAGAGAUUGGUUUCAUCGCUACGAGCAACCCUGUUGCUCAAAGAUGACUGACGAGUGUCGGUUUCUCCAACUUUAGUUGAAUCGGAUUUGACCGAGGAGGUCCUUGGAGAGAGGUUAAAUAGCAAUUCAUACACCUCCGUUGUGGUGUUUGCGUAAGUAAGAUGCGAUCCUACUAGAUACCCAUGGCAACCACGUAAAACAUGCAACAACAAUUAGAGGACGUCUAACUUGUUUUUGCACGGUAUGCUUGUGAUGUGAUAUGGCCAACGACGUGAUGUGAUAUAUUGGAUGUAUGAGAUGAUCAUGUUGUAAUAGUUAAUAUAGACUUGUACGUCGAUGGUACGACAACCGGCAGGAGCCAUAGGGUUGUCUUUAAACUAACAUUUAUGCUUGCAGAUGCGUUUACUAUAUUGCUAGGACAUAGCUUUAGUAGUAAUAGCAUGAGUAGCACGACAACCCCGAUGGCGACACGUUGAUGGAGAUCAUGNNNNNNNNNNNNNNNNNNNNNNNNNNNNNNNNNNNNNNNNNNNNNNNNNNNNNNNNNNNNNNNNNNNNNNNNNNNNNNNNNNNNNNNNNNNNNNNNNNNNNNNNNNNNNNNNNNNNNNNNNAUCCUUUAUGCACCUUAUUAUGCUUAGAACGACGGUAGCAUUAUGAGGUGAUCUCUCACUAAAAUUUCAAGCUCAAAUUGUGUUCUCCCCGACUGUGCACCGUUGCGACAGUUCGUCGUUUCGAGACACCACGUGAUGAUCAGGUGUGAUAGACUCAACGUUCACAUACAACGGGUGCAAAAUAGUUGCACGCGCGGAACACUCGGGUUAAACUUGACGAGCCUAGCAUGUACAGAUAUGGCCUCGGAACACAAGAGACCGAAAGGUCGAGCAUGAAUCGUAUAGUUGAUAUGAUUAGCAUAGAGAUGCUUACCACUGAAACUAUUCUCGACUCACGUGAUGAUCGGACUUGAGAUAGUGGAUUUGGAUCAUGUACCACUCAAAUGACUAGAGAGAUGUACUUUUUGAGUGGGAGUUCUUAAGUAAUAUGAUUAAUUGAACUAAUUGUCAUGAACAUAGUCUAAUGGUCUUUGCGAAUUAAGAUGUAGCUUGUGCUAUAGCUCUACUGUUUUAAUAUGCUCCUAGAGAAAAUUUAGUUGAAAGUUGAUAGUAGCAAACUUUGCGGACUGAGUCUGUAAAACUGAGGAUUGUCCUCGAUUGCUGCGCAGAAGGCUUGUGUCCUUAAUGCACCACUCGGUGUGCUGCACCUCGAGCGUCGUCUGUGGAUGUUGUGAACAUCCGACAUACACGUUUCUGAUGACUACACAAUAGUUCAGUGCAAAAUACUUAAUGGCUUAGAAGCAAGGCGCCGAAGACAUUUUGAAACGUCACGGAACAUAAGAGAUGUUCUAAAGAGAUGAAAUUGUGAUUUCAUGCUUGUGCCCUUGUUAAGAUGUAUGAGACCUCUGACAAGAUUCUUUGUCCACGAAGUAGAGGAGAAAAGCUCAAUCGUUGAGCGUGUGCUCAGAUUGUCUAAGUACGACAAUCGCUUGAAUCAAGUGGGAGUUAAUCUUCCAGAUGAAAUAGUGAUGGUUCUCCAAAGUCACUGCCACCAAGCUGUGAGAGCUUCGUGAUGAACUAUAACAUAUCAAGGAUAGAUACAAUGAUCCUUGAGCGAUUCGCAAUGUUUGACACUGCGAAAGUAGAAAUCAAGAAGGAGCAUCAAUAGUUGAUGGUUAGUAAAACCACUAAGUUUUAAGAAAGGCAAGGGCUAGAAGGGAUACUUCGUGAAACGGCAAAACAGUUGUUGCACUAAUGAAGAGACCCAAUAUUAAACCCAAACCCGAGACUAAGUGCUUCUGUUAUGAGGGGAACGGUCACUGAGGCGGAGCUACCCUAGAUGCUUGGUAGAUAAGAAGGCUGGCUAAGUCGAAAGAAGUAUAUUUGAUAUACAUGAUGUUGAUGUGUACUUUACUAGUGCUCCUAGUAGCGCGAGGGUAUUGGAUACCGGUUCGGUUGCUAAGUGAUUAGUAACACAAAAUAAAAGCUACGGAAUAAACGGAGACUAGCUAAAGGCAAGGUGACGAUACGUGUUGGAAGUGUUUGCAAGGUUGAUAUGAUUAAAUGUCGAACGCUCCCUCUACCAUCGGGAUUGGUGUUAAACCUAAAUAAUUAUUAUUUGGUGCUUGCGUUAAGCAUGAACAUGAUUGGAUCGUGUUUAUUGCAAUACGAUUAUUCAUCUAAAAGAAUAAUGGUUACUCUAUUUGCUUGAAUAAUCACCUUCAAUGGUUUAUUGAAUCUCGAUCGUAGUGUUACACAUGUUCAUGAUAUUGGUGCCAAAAGAUACAAAGUAAUGAUGAUAGUACCACUUACUUGCGGCACUGCCGCUUGAGUCGUGUUGGUAUAAGUUGCAUGAAGAGGCUCUAUAUUGAUGGAUCUUUGUACUCACUUGAUUUUGAAUCACUUGUGACAUGCAAAUCAUACCACAUGAGCGAGGCCUUGUUUUCAUUGAGAAGAGACAAGAUAGUAACUUGUUGGAAGUAAUACAUUUUGAUGUAUGCAGUCCAAUGGGUGCUGAGGCACGCAGUGGAUAUUAUUAUGUUCUUACUUCAAUGACGAUUUGAGCAGAUACAUGAGUAUUUAUUAAUGAAUCACGAGUCUGAAAUAUUGAAAAAGUUCAAUUUUGUUUCAGAGUGAAGUUCGUCGUAACAAGAGGAUAAACUGUCUACGAUAUGAUCAUAGAGAUGAAUAUCUGAGUUGCGAGUUUUGGUACACAGUUAAGACAAUGUGGAAGUUAUUUGGCAAUUCAUGCCACCAAGAGCACCAUAGUGUGAUGGUGUGUCCGAACGUCAUAGCCGCGACCUAUUUGAUAUGGUGCAAAAUAUGAUGUCUCUCAUCGAAUUACCCCUAUCGUUUAUGGGUUAUGCAUUAGAGACAACCGCAUUCACUUUAAAUAGGGCACCUCAUAUUUCCGUUGAGAUGACACAGUAUAGACUAUGGUUUAGAGAAACCUAAGCUGUCGUUUCUUGAAAGUUUGGGGUUACGAUGCUUAUGUGAAACGGUUUCAGUCUGAUAAGCUCGAACCCAAAGCGGAUAAAUAUAUCUUCAUAGGAUAUCCAAAACAGUUGGAUACAUCUCCUAUCCCAGAUCCGGAAGCAAAGUGUUUGUUUCUAGAAACAGAUCCUUUCUUGAGGAAAGAUUUCUCUCAAAAGAAUUGAGUGGGAGAGUGGUGGAACUUGAUGAGGUUAUUGAACCGUCACUUCAACCAGUGUGUAGCAGGGCGCAGGAAGUUGUUCCUAUGGCGCCUACAUCAAUUGAAGUGGAAGCUGAUGAUAGUGAUCAUUAGAGCUUCGGAUCAAGUUACUACAAAACCUCGUAGGUCGACAAAGGUCGCGUACUACUACAGAGUGGUAUGGUAACCCUGUCUUGGAGGUCAUGUUGUUGAGCGACAAUGAACCUACGAGUUAUGGAGAAACAAUGGUGGGCCCGUAUUCCGACAAAUGGCUGGAGGCCAUGAAAUCCGAGAGAGAAUCCAUGUAUGAAACAAAGUGUAGAGUUUGGAAGAACUGCUUGAUGGUAGUAAGACUUUUAAGUAAAGAUGGAUCUUUAAAAGGAAGACAAACGAUGAUGGUGAUAAGUCACUAUUCAAAAAAGCUCGACUUGUCACAAAGAUGUUUUCGACAAGAUCAAAGAGUUCACUAUGAUGUGACUUUCUCACUCGUAGCGAUGCUAAAGUCUUUUGGAAUUAUGUUAGUAGUUGUUGCAUUAUUUGUGAAACAUUGCACAUAGGAAGUCAAAACAUUGUUUCCUCAACGGUUUCCUUGAGGAAAGAUUNNNNNNNNNNNNNNNNNNNNNNNNNNNNNNNNNNNNNNNNNNNNNNNNNNNNNNNNNNNNNNNNNNNNNNNNNNNNNNNNNNNNNNNNNNNNNNNNNNNNUGGACUAGACCCAAACUAUGAACGUAGCAUGUGAUCGUGUAAUUUUGUUGUUAUUGUUUUCUGCGUGUCAAGUAUUUAUUCCUAUGACCAUGAGAUCAUAUAACUCACUGGUACCGGAGGAAUACCUUGUGUGUAUCAAACGUCGCAACGUAACUGGGUGACUAUAAGGGUGCUCAACAGGUAUCUCCGAAGGUGUCCGUUGAGUUAAUAUGGAUCAAGACUAGGAUUUGUCACUCCGUGUGNNNNNNNNNNNNNNNNNNNNNNNNNNNNNNNNNNNNNNNNNNNNNNNNNNNNNNNNNNNNNNNNNNNNNNNNNNNNNNNNNNNNNNNNNNNNNNNNNNNNNNNNNNNNNNNNNNNNNNNNNNNNNNNNNNNNNNNNNNNNNNNNNNNNNNNNNNNNNNNNNNNNNNNNNNNNNNNNNNNNNNNNNNNNNNNNNNNNNNNNNNNNNNNNNNNNNNNNNNNNNNNNNNNNNNNNNNNNNNNNNNNNNNNNNNNNNNNNNNNNNNNNNNNNNNNNNNNNNNNNNNNNNNNNNNNNNNNNNNNNNNNNNNNNNNNNNNNNNNNNNNNNNNNNNNNNNNNNNNNNNNNNNNNNNNNNNNNNNNNNNNNNNNNNNUAUUGGAUAUUGACCGAGGAGUNNNNNNNNNNNNNNNNNNNUAGUUCUCGAACCCGCAGGGUGUGCACACUUAAGGUUCGAUGAUGUUUUAGUAUAGUUGAGUUAUAUGUGUGGUUACCGUAUGUUGUUCGGUGUCCCGGAUGAGAUCACGGACAUCACGAGGGUUUUCAGAAUAGUCCGGAAACGAAGAUUGNNNNNNNNNNNNNGACGUUGUUUUAUGCGUAUUUGAGUUAUAUGGUUGGUUACCGAAUGUUGUUCGGAGUCCCGGAUGAGAUCACGGACGUCACGAGGGUUUCCGGAAUGGUCCGGAAACGAAGAUUGAUAUAUAGGAUGGUUUCAUUUGUUGACCGGAAGGUUUCGGGCAUUUCCAGAGUGUACCGGGAGUGACGAAUGGGUUCCGGAUAUUCACCGGGAGGGGCCCACCCACCCGGGAGUGAGCCGAGUGACCCUAGGGUAGCGCACCAGCUCUUAGUGGGCUGGUGAGGCCAGCCCAAUAUGGCCAUGGCGCCACAAGUGGACAAACACCAAAGAAAAGGGAAAAAAAAGGAAAAGAGGGAGGUGGGAAGGGAGAGGAGGACUCCUCCUUCCCCAAACCGAAUUGGAGUAGGAGUCCUCCUCUCCACUUCGGCCGGCGCACCAAGGGGCUCCUUGAGCCCCAAGGCUAGCCCCUCCCCUCCUCCUAUAUAUGUUGGUGGUUUAGGGCUUUUUGAGACAUACUUUGCCACGUGCAACUCAAACAUAUAUCACGUAGUUUUACCUCUAGAUCGGAUUUCUGCGGAGCUCGGACGGAGCCCUGCAAGAGUAGAUAAUCACCACCAUUGGAGCGUCGUCACGCUGCCGGAGAANNNNNNNNNNNNNNNNNNNNNNNNNNNNNNNNNNNNNNNNNNNNNNNNNNNNNNNNNNNNNNNNNNNNNNNNNNNNNNNNNNNNNNNNNNNNNNNNNNNNGCAUUUAAGACAUGGAGGAGUAAAUUCAACUUGACUAGCGCUAAUCUGUUGAGCUAGUAAUGAAUCAUUUUCCUUACGAAGAUCAUCAUGAGACAUCCUCAGCUUCUCAAGAUCAAGCUUUCUUUGAAGGAAUUCGUAGGAAAGCUUCUCAUGAUCAGUGAGGAGUGUAUCAUGACUAUCCUGAAGAUUAUCAAAUCUAGACUGAAGAUUUUUCAUGUCAUCAGCGAGGAUUUGAUUAAGAUUCAUUUCAUCAUUCAAGAGAUCAUCACUUUUGUCUAGCAGUUUUUGAAGCUUUUCCAGAGCAGUUUGUUGUUUAGUGGCAAUGAUGGCAAGUUUACUGUAACUAGGUUUUUUGUAAUCAUCAUGUUCACAGUCACUUGAAUCAGAGGAGGAGGUAUUAUUUGAUACCUUUGAACCUUUUGCCAUGAAGCAAUAGGUUGGAGCGAAGUCAUCAGCAUUGUCAUGAGUAUGGAUGGUGCACUCAUUUUCAUCAAGAUUGAAGAUUGACUUGCUGACGAAAUUUGUUGCUAGUGCAAGACUAGCUUGUCCGGAUUCUGAGUCUUCUCCAGAGCCUUCUUCUUCAUCACAUUCCUCAGAUUCUGCCUCGGAAUCCAUUUCCUUGCCAAUAAGUGCCCGAGCCUUUCUGAAGCUAGUCUUCUUGUGUGAGGAGGACUCUGAAGAUGAGGAUUUUGAAGAUUUCUUCUUCUUCCUUGAGUCAUCAGAACUGUCAUCCUUGUAUUUCUUCUUCUUUGAUUCCUUUCCCCAGCGAGGACAAUCAACAAUGUAAUGACCUGAUUUCUUGCACUUGUGUGAGGUCCGUUUCUUGUAGUCCUCAGAUGCAGAUUCUGAUUUCCUGAUGUCUCUUCUUGAUGAUUUACUGAACUGGCCUCGUCGUGUAAAUCUCUGGAAUUUCCUCACAAGCAUUGCAAGUUCCUGACCAAAUUCUUCAGGGUCACAACUGCUGUCAUCUGUGUCUUCUUCUUCAGAUGAGGAAAUUGCUCUUGCCUUCAGUGCACGUGGUCUGGAAUAGCUUUGUCCAUAUAGAUCUCUCUUUUCUUCUAGCUGGAAUUCAUGAGUAUUCAGCCUUUCGAGGAUAUCAGCUGGAUCUAGCAUCUUGUAGUCUGGUCUUUCGUGAAUCAUCAGAACUAGAGUGUUGAAUGAAGAAUCUAGGGAUCUCAGCAGUUUCUUCACAACUUCGUGAUCAGUGAUGUCUCGAGCUCCCAGUGCUUGCAGUUCAUUUGAUAUGUCAGUGAGGCGAUCAAAGGUGUCUUGGCAGCUUUCAUUGUCAUGUCUCUUGAAGCGAUUGAAGAGAUUGCGAAGAAUAUCAACACGAGAGUCACGUUGGGUUGAUACUCCUUCAUUUACCUUGCACAGUCUCUCCCAGAUCAGUGUUGCACAGCCUAAGGCACUUACUCUUCCAAACUGGCCAGGGCUCAGAUGACCACACAUGAUGUUCUUCGCUUGAGAAUCGAGUUGCUUGAAUUUCUUCACAUCAGCUACAGUGACACUAGCAGAAAUGAUGGGGACACCAUUUUCCACAAUAUACCAGAGAUCAUUGUCUAUAGCUUGUAGAUGCAUUUGCAUUUUGUUCUUCCAGAAGGGAAAGUUCUUUCCCUCGUAGGUAGGACAUGUUGCACUCACCUAAACAUUCCUGCAGUCGACAUAACUAAAACUCCAGGUGGUUAAACCAAAAUCACACAGAACAAGGGAGUACCUUGCUCUGAUACCAAUUGAAAGUGCGUUAUAUCGACUAGAGGGGGGUGAAUAGGAGAUUUUAGAAUUUCAUCACUGAGGAAAUUCCUUUUGAGGAAAUUCCUCACUGAUGACUAACUUACAGCGGAAACAGUUAAGGAUCAGUCGUGCAAACUACACAAGAGCAGUAUUACAGAGUGAAGAUUACGAAAACAGAUUGCACAGUAAGCAGGCACGCAGAAUACAGAUGAGGAUUAACUGACGUGAAGAAUUUGGGGUUGAGGAAAUUCAGAGAAAGUCUUCAGCAAAUUCUUCAAAGAGUCGCAGUGAAAGUCAUCAACACAUAAUACGAGGAAAGUAAGGAGUUGAGGAAUUAGAACCCGUUUCUCAGUGAAGACAGUCGUAGAUGACCCAGUUCCAACUGCUGUGACAGUCGUACAUCUGGUUUGGAGCGGCUUGGUAUUGAAACCAAAGGACACACAGUCCCGGGACACAUAGUCUCUACCGUAUUCUCCUUGAGCUAAGGACACACAGUCCUCGCCCAACACUCGUGGUAAGUCUUCAGGGCAGACUUCCAAACCCUCACAAACUCGGUCACCCAGCGAUCCACAAUUGACUGCUGGAUUGCUCUAGACCAUGACGCCUAACCGUCUGGAGGAUGCACAGUCCUCAAAGGUAAAAGGCUUCAGUCCCACACAGGAACAACUUCUUCAGUGAUGCUCAAUCACUAGGUUUGGUUUGUGGUUUCGCUGUAUGGUGUAUUUCCUCACUGAUGAAUUACUCUUGAAGACUCUGAGGAAUUGGGUUGCUCUUAUGACAAGUGUUAGUUUCUAAUAGAGCAGCCAACCAGCUAAUGGUUGUGGGGGGUGGCUAUUUGUAGCCUGGGAGCAUCCCGACANNNNNNNNNNNNNNNNNNNNNNNNNNNNNNNNNNNNNNNNNNNNNNNNNNNNNNNNNNNNNNNNNNNNNNNNNNNNNNNNNNNNNNNNNNNNNNNNNNNNAGAAUAUGUAGGAUCCAAUAUGGGCNNCCAGGUCCCGCUAUUGGAUAUUGACCGAGGAGUGCCUCGGGUCAUGUCUACAUAGUUCUCGAACCCGCAGGGUCUGCACACUUAAUGUUCAAUGAUGUUUUAGUAUAGUUGAGUUAUAUGUGUGGUUACCGAAUGUUGUUCGGAGUCCCGGAUGAGAUCAAGAACGUCAUGAGGGUUUCCGGAAUGGUCCGGAAAUGAAGAUUGAUAUUUAUGAUGGUUUAAUUUGGUCACUGGAAAGUUUCGGGCAAUUCCGGCAGUGUACCGGAGUGACGAAUGGGUUCUAGGUGUUCACCGGGAGGGGCCCACCCACCCGGGAGUGAGCCCAAGGCCCUAGGGUGGCGCACCAAGUCCCUAGUGGGCUGAUGGAGUCAGCCCAAGAGGGCUAUGGCGGCACAUAAGAAAAUUCCAAAGGAAAAAUAAAAAUAAAAGGAAAGAGGAAGGUGGGAAGGAAGAGGAGGACUCCUCCUUCCCAAACCGAAUUGGAGGAGUAGUCCUCCUCCUCUUGGCGGCUGGCGCACCUUGAGGGCCUUGUCCCUCAAGGCUAGCCCCUCCCCCUCCCUCCUAUAUAUAGUGGUGGUUUAGGGCUUUUUGAGACACUACUUUGCCACGUGCAACUCUAGCCUAUUCCACAUACUUUUACCUCUAGAUCGGAUUUCCGCGGAGCUCGGGCGGAGCCCUGCAGGACUAGAUCAUGACCACCACCGGAGCGCCGUCACGCUACCGAAUAACUCAUCUACUUCUCCAUCUUGCUUGCUGGAUCAAGAAGUCCAAGAUCAUCGUCGAGCUGUACGUGUGCUGAACGCGGAGGUGCCGUCUGUUCGGUGCUAGAUCGGAACGGAUCGUGGGACGGAUCGCGGGACGGUUCCUGGGACGGUUCGAGGGACGUGAAGACGUUCCACUACAUCAACCGUGUUUCUUAAUGCUUCCCGUUGUGCGAUCUACAAGGGUACAUAGAUCUAAUCUCCACUCAUAGAUGGACAUCACCAUGAUAGGUCUUCGUGUGCGUAGGAAUUUUUUUGUUUCCCAUGCAACGUUCCCCAGCAAUGCCUUGCCUAGAGCUUCCCAAGUUGAGCAAUCAAAAUGCGAAUGAUUAAUUGAAUUGUAUAGUGUAAUCACAAAUAUGAAACCAUGUUUAGUCCUUAGGUGAGCUCUCUUUGUCUCCAUAUUCUCCAUUUCUUGGAAACCGAACUUCUGCAAGACAUACAAUCUUGCAUUGCACGGGAUGCACUAGCCGAAUUGUAAAGAAUAGAAAUUACACAUUGAAGUAAAGGAACACAAAAGUAAAGAAGAAAAAAUAGUGGUCAUCAUUGCGUACCGUAAAAACAUCAAAUGUCUUGUCAAGCUUAAUGGUGAAGAACAUGCCGUUUCACAAGUGAGGCUGUGCUACUGCAACAAAAGACCUUCCAACGGCGCCAGAAACGUGCUACAGCACCAGGAAUCCUUCUGCUACGGCUACGCCUUAAGGGACUUCCUAGGCAAAUAUGCAAAGGAUUUCCCCCGUGGCCUUGGAGCCUUGCGUUGGUGUUCCCUCGAAGCGGAAAGGGUGAUGUAGCGCAGCGGUGGUAAGUAUUUCCCUCAGUUUUGAGAACCAAGGUAUCGAUCCAGCGAAGGAGUAUCACAAGUGCCUGCACAAACACAAAGAACCUGCUCCCAACGCUAUGAAGCGGUUGUCAAUCCCUUAUAGAUUGUUUGCCAAGUGAUAACUGAAAGCAACAAAGUAACAAAGCAAAGUAAAAGCGAAGGUGUAAACGAUAGAUGUGAAUAUACCCGGUGGGCGUAGUGUUUACUAGUGGCUUCUCUCAUGAAAGCAAGUAGACGGUGGGUGAACAAAUUACUGUGGAGCAAUUGAUAGAACCGCGCAAAGUCGUGACAUCAUUUAUGGCAAUGAUUAUAUCUAUAGGCAUCACGUCCAAAACAAGUAGACCGAUACUUUCUGCAUCUACUACUAUUACUCCACACGUCGACCGCUAUCCAACAUGCAUCUAGUGUAUUAGGUCCAAAAGAACAGAGUAACGCCUUAAGCAAGAUGACAUGAUGUAGAUGGACAAUCUCAUAUCUACGACAGAGCCCACCUUGUUACCCUUGAUGGAAACUACACAAUGUGUGCCUUGCUGCCCCUACUGUCACUGGGAAAGGUCACCACACGGUAAGAACUCAAGACCAAGCACUUCUCCCAUUGCAAGAAUCAUAGAUCUAGUUGGCCAAACAAAACCCAAGACUCGGAGAGACUUACAAGGAUAUCAAAUCAUGCAUAUAAGAAAUCAGCAAAGACUCAAAUAUAUAUCAUAGAUAAUCUGAUCACAAAUCCACAAUUCAUCGGAUCUCGACAAACACACCGCCAAAGAAGAUUACAUCGGAUAGAUCUCCAUGAAGAUCAUGGAGAACUUUGUAUUGAAGAUCCAAGAGAGAGAAGAAGCGAUCUAGCUACUAACUACUGACCCAUAGGUCUGAAGUGAACUACUCACGAGUCAUUGGAGGGACGAUGAUGAUGAUGAAGAAGCCCUCCAACUACAAAGUCCCCUCCGGCAGGGCACCGGGAAGGGUCUCCAGAUGAGAUCUCGCGGAAACGGAAGCUUGCGGCGGCGGAAAAGUAUUUCCGUGGAUCCCUUGAUUUUUUUUCUGAUUUUUAGGGAAUAUAUAGGCGCAAGAUCUAGGUCAGGGGGGCGCCAGGGAGGCCACAAGCCUGCCCACCGCCGCCCCCCCUGGGUGGCGGAGUGGGGGCUUCUGGGCUCCCUGUAGCCCUCCUGGCUUGGCCACAGGCCCCCUGAUCUUCCUUCGUUUGGGAAAAAAUAAUUUUGGGGAUUUUAUUCCGUUUGGACUCCGUUCCAAAAUCAGAUCUGAAAAGAGCCAAAAACACAAAAAAACAGGAACUGGCACUUGGCACUGAAUUAAUAAGUUAGUACCAAAAAUGAUAUAAAAGGUACAUAAAACAUCCAAAGAUGACAAGAUAACAGCAUGAAUCCAUCAAAAAUUAUUGGUACGUUUGAGACUUAUCAAGCAUCCACAAGCUUAACUCCUGCUCGUCCUCGAGUAGGGAAGUGAUAAAGAAUGAAUUUUUGAUGCUUUCAUGCUACCUAGCAUAGGUGUCCUUUGUAAUUCCUCUUUUGUGACGUGAAUGUGCACAUCCAUUAGAUUUAAAACAAUAGUUUGCUAUUGACGUGGAAACAAUAAUAAUUCAAGCAAACUAGCAAAGUAAUCAUGAACUUUCAAAAUAACAAGGCCAAAAGAAAGUUAUCCCUACAAANNNNNNNNNNNNNNNNNNNNNNNNNNNNNNNNNNNNNNNNNNNNNNNNNNNNNNNNNNNNNNNNNNNNNNNNNNNNNNNNNNNNNNNNNNNNNNNNNNNNACUUUGAUGAGAUGAUCAAAGAUUUUGGGUUUGUACAAGGUUUAUGAGAAACUUGUAUUUCCAAAGAAGUGAAUGGGAGUACUAUAGAAUUUCUGAUAAGUAUAUGUGGUUUACAUAUUGUUGAUCAGAAGUAAUAUAGAAUUUCUGUGAAGCAUAAAAGGUUGUUUGAAAGGAGUUUUUCAAAGGAAUACCUGGAUUGGGCUACUUGAACGUUGAGCAUCAAGAUCUAUGGAGAUAGAUCGAAACGCUUAAUAGAAGUUUCAACAAGAUGCAUGCCUUGACAAGUUUUUGAAGGAGUUCAAAAUAGAUCAGCAAAGAAGGAGUUCUUGACUGUGUUGUAAGGUGUGAAUUUGAGUAAGACUCAAAACCCGACCACGGCAGAAGAAAGAGAAAGGACGAAGGUCGUCCCCUAUGCCUUAGCCGUAGACUCUACAGUAUGCCAUGCUAUGUACCGCACCUGAUGUGUGCCUUGCCACAAGUCUGUUAAGAGGUACAGAGAGUGAUCCAGGAUUGAAUCACUGAAUAGCGGUCAAAGUUAUCCUUAGUAACUAAUGGACUAAGGAAUUUUUCUCUAUUAUGGAGGUGGUUAAAGAGUUCGUCGUAAAGGGUUACGUCGAUGCAAGCUUUGACACUAAUCCGAAUAACUAUGAGUAGUGAGACGGAUUCUUAUAGUAGAGUAGAUAUUUGGAGUAUUUCCGAAUAGCACGUAGUAGCAGCAUCUAUAAGAUGACAUAAAGAUAUGUAAAGAACACACGGAUCUGAAAGUUUCAGAACCGUCGACUAAAACCUCUAUCACGAGCAAGACGUGAUCAGACCCCAGAACUAUAUGGGUGUUCGAUUCGUUGAAAUCACAUGGUGAUGUGAACUAGAUUAUUUACUCUAGUGCAAGUGGGAGACUGUUGGAAAUAUGUUCUAGAGGCAAUAAUAAAUUAGUUAUUAUUAUAUUUCUUUGUUCAUGAUAAUCGUUUAUUAUCCAUGCUAUAAUUGUAUUGAUUGGAAAGACAAUACUUGUGUGGAUACAUAGACAAAACACUGUCCCUAGUAAGCCUCUAGUUGACUAGCUCGUUGAUCAAAGAUGGUCAAGGUUUCCUGACCAUAGGCAAGUGUUGUCACUUGAUAACGGGAUCACAUCAUUAGGAGAAUCAUGUGAUGGACUAGACCUAUACUAAUGAACGUAGCAUGUUGAUCGUGUCAUUUUGUUGCUACUGUUUUUCUGCGUGUCAAGUAUUUAUUCCUAUGACCAUGAGAUCAUAUAACUCAGUGACACCGGAGGAAUGCCUUGUGUGCAUCAAACGUCGCAACGUAACUGGGUGACUAUAAAGGUGCUCUACAGGUAUCUCCGAAGGUGUCCGUUGAGUUAGUAUGGAUCAAGACUGGGAUUUGUCACUCCGUGUGACGGAGAGGAAUCUCGGGUCCCACUCGGUAAUACAAUAUCACACACAAGCCUUGCAAGCAAUGUGACUUAGUGUAAGUCACGGGAUCUUGUAUUACGGAACGAGUAAAGAGACUUGCCAGUAAACGAGAUUGAAAUAGGUAUGCGGAUACUGAGGAUGGAAUCUUGGGCAAGUAACAUACCGAAGGACAAAGGGAAUGACAUGCGGGAUUAUAUGAAUCCUUGGUACUGAGGUUCAAACGAUAAGAUCUUCGUAGAAUAUGUAGGAUCCUCUCCCUAUAGUNNNNNNNNNNNNNNNNNNNNNNNNNNNNNNNNNNNNNNNNNNNNNNNNNNNNNNNNNNNNNNNNNNNNNNNNNNNNNNNNNNNNNNNNNNNNNNNNNNNNACAAGUAUAUGAGUUCUUCAUGACUAAUGUUGAGUCCAUGGUUUAGAUGCACUUUCACCUUCCACCAUCACUAUCUUCUUAGUGUCGUGCAACUUUCGCCGGUGCACAAAACCCACCAUUAGCCUCCCUCAAAACAGCCACCAUACCUACCUACUAUGGCUUUUUCAAAGUCAUUCCGAGAUAUAUUACCAUGCAACUACCACCAUGACAUGUGCCACCAUGUCUACAUUGUCAUUGCAUGAUCGUAAGAUAGCUAGCAUGAUGUUUCCAUUAAUGUCUAUGCCAUGCUAGAUCAUUGUCACGGUACACUACCGAAGGCAUUCCAUAUAGAGUCAUCGUUGCUCUAAGUUUUGAGUUGAAAGUGUGAUGGUCAUCAUUGAUGGAGCAUUGUCCCAUGUGAGGAAAUAAAAGAGGCCAAAGAUACCCACCAAAAAAAAGAGGCCAAAGAGCCCACCAAAAAAAUGAGAGAAAAAAGAGAAGGGACAAUGCUACCACCUUUCCACACUUAUGCAUAUUAAGCACUAUGAUCUUCAUGAUUGAGAGUCUCUCGUUUUGUCACCAGCAUAUAGCUAGUGGGAAAUUCUCAUUAUAUAACUUGGCUUGUAUAUUCCAAUGAUAGGCUUCCUCAAAAUUGCCUUAGGUCUUCGUGAGCAAGCAAGUUGGAUGCACACCCACUAGUUUUCUUUAAGAGCUUUCACAUACUCUUAGCUCUAGUGCAUCAUUUGUAUGGCAAUCCCUACUCAUUCACAUUGAUAUCUAUUGAUGAGCAUCUCCACAGCUCAUUGAUAUACCUAGUUAAUGUGACCAUCUUCUCCUUGUUUGUCUUGCAACCUCCACCACUCUCCAUUCCACUCAUUGUGCUAAAACCAUGGCUCACGCUCAUGUAUUGCGUGAGGGUUGAAAAAGUUUGAGAAAGUAAAAGUGUGAAAAUGAUUACUUGGCCAAUACCGGGGUUGUGCAUGAUUUAAAUUCGUUGUGCAAGGAUGAUAGAGCAUAGCCAGACUAUAUGAUUUUGUAGGGAUAACUUUCUUUUGGCCUUGUUAUUUUGAAAGUUCAUGAUUACAUUGCUAGUUUGCUUGAAUUAUUAUUGUCUCCACGUCAAUAGAAAACUAUUGUUUUGAAUCUAAUGGAUCUGAACAUUCACGUCACAUAAGAGGAGUUACAAGGGACAUCUAUGCUAGGUAGCAUGAAAGCAUCAAAAAUUCAUUCUUUAUCAUAUCCCUUCUCGAAGACGAGCAGGAGUUAAGCUUGGGGAUGCUUGAUACGUCUCAGACGUAUCUAUAAUUUUUGAUGGUUUCAUGCUGUUAUCUUGUCAACUUUGGAUGUUUUAUAUACCUUUUAUAUCUUUUUUGGGACUAACUUAUUAAUUCAGGGCCAAGUGCCAGUUCCUGUUUUUUCUGUGUUUCUGACUCUUUUCAGAUCUGAUUUUGGAACGGAGUCCAAAUGGAAUAAAAUCCCCGAAAUAAAUUUUUUUAGAACGGAAGAAGAUCGGGAGGCUUGAGGGCCAAGGCACAGAGCCCACAGGGAGCCCACAAGCCGUGUAGCCGCCACCAGGGGGGCGGCGGCUACCAGGAUUGUGGCCUCCCUGGCGCUCCCCUGACCUAGCUCUUUGGCCUAUAAAUUCCGUAAAAUCCCAGAAAAAAUAAGGGCAUCCACGAAAACACUUAACUGCCGCCGCAAGCUUCCAUUUCUGCGAGAUCUCAUCUGGAGACCCUUCCCAGUGCCCUGCCGGAGGGGACUUUGGAGCUGGAGGGCUUCUUCAUGAACAUCACCGCCCCUCCAAUGACUCGUGAGUAGUUCACUUCAGACCUACGGGUCCGUAGUUAGUAGCUAGAUGGCUUCUUCUCUCUCUUGGAUCUUCAAUACAAAGUUCUCCAUGAUCUUCAUGGAGAUCUAUCCGAUGUAAUCCUCUUUGGAAGUGUGUUUGUCAAGAUCUGAUGAAUUGUGGAUUUGUGAUCAGAUUAUCUAUGAAUUAUAUUUGAGUCUUUGCUGAUUUCUUAUAUGCAUGAUUUGAUAUCCUUGUAAGUCUCUCCGAGUCUUGGGUUUUGUUUGGCCAACUAGAUCUAUGAUUCUUGCAAUGGGAGAAGUGCUUGGUUUUGGGUUCAUACCGUGUGGUGACCUUUCCAAGUGACAGAAGGGGCACCAAGGCACACAUCAUGUUGUUGCCAUCAAGGGUAACAAGAUGGGAUUUUAUCGUAGAUAUGAGAUUGUCCAUCUACAUCAUGUCAUCUUGCUUAAGGCGUUACUCUGUUCUCAUGAACUUAAUACACUAGAUGCAUGCUGGAUAGCGAUCGACGUGUGGAGUAAUAGUAGUAGAUGCAGAAAGUAUCAGUCUACUUGUUUUGCACGUGAUGCCUAUAGAUAUAAUCAUUGCCAUAGAUAACGUCACGACUUUGCGCGGUUCUAUCAAUUGCUCGACAGUAAUUCGUUCACCCACCGUCUACUUGCUUUCAUGAGAGAANNNNNNNNNNGCCCCCGGGUCUAUUCACAACUAUCGUUUCCAGUUUCACUUUUACUUUGCUUUGUUUUCUUUUUGCUUUUAGUUCUCACUUUGCAAAAAAUCUAUCAGGGAUUGACAACCCCUUCAUAGCGUUGGGUGCAAGCGCUUUGUGUUUGUGCAGGUACUUGUGACUUGAUGCAAUCUUUAACUGGAUCGAUACCUUGGUUCUCAAAAAUGAGGGAAAUACUUACCGCCGAUGUGCUACAUCACCCUUUCCGCUUCGAGGGAACACCAACGCAAGGCUCCAAGGUCACGGGGGGAUCCUUUGCAUAUUUGCCAAGGAAGUCCCUAAAGGCGUAGCCGUAGCAGAAGGAUUCCUGGUGCCGUUGCUGAGGAGUAUCAAGACAAGAAUAGUCUCCCAUCAACACGCUUGUUUCUGGCACUGUUGGAAGAUCUUUUGUUGCAGUAGCAUUAUGUAGUCUACGUUCACAUAACACCACUAAGGGAAUCACAACAUUUAUAUCAUCAAAAUAUCGAACAAAUAUUAACUUCACAUGACUACUUGCAACAUGACUUCUCCCGUGGCCUCAAGAACAAAAGUAGCUACUCACAAGUGAUAAACAUGCUCAUGAUCAGAGAAGUAUUAAAUAGCAUAUUGGAUCUGAACAUAUGAUUUUCCACCAAAUAAACCGUAAAGCAUCAACUAGAGGAUGUAAUCAACACUACCAGUCACCCCCUAGGUACCAAUCUAAGGUUCCGGUACAAGAUAGAGCACAAGUGAUGAAGUAUGGUUUUGAGAGGAGAUAGUGCUAUUGAAGAUGUUGAAGAAGAUUGGCCUCCCAGAGAUGAGAGGGUUGUUGGCGAUGACGAUGACCUCGAUUUCCCACUCCGGGAGGGAAGUUCCUCCGGCAGAAUCGCUCCGCCAGAGGGCAAAAGUGCUCCUCCCAAGUUCCACCUCGAGAAGGCAGUGCUCAAUCCCAAAAGUCCUCUCCUCAUUUUUUUCACGUCAAGAGUGAAUAUAUUACAGAAGAUGGUCACGAGAAGUGGGCUGGGUGGCCCACUACCCAUGAGGCCGCGCUAGGGGCUCUGGCGCGCCCUGGUGCUUAGUGGCCACCUGGCAGCCCCACUCUGGUACUUCCUUCCUCCAACAUUUCUUAUUUAUUACAUAAAAAAUCCUUGUGAAGUUUCAGCCCAUUUGGAGGUGUGCAGGAUAGGUAUCUCUCACGUAGCAUUUUUAGGUCAGAAUUCCAUUUGCGAGCAUUCUCCCUCUGGGUGUAAACCUUGCAUGUUAUGAGAGAAAAGGCAUUAGAAUUACUCCAUAAAGUGUUAUAAGUCAUAAAAUACUAUAAAUAACAAUAGCAAAACAUGAUGCAAAAUGGACGUAUCAAUGAUCGAUGCAUAGACUGAUCUAUCAACCUCCUUUGCUUGAGUGCGUGAGAAUCCAUCUCGAUCUCGAUGGGUAAAUAGCUUCUUUGGAUGGAAAAAGACAAACCUUUCGUACACUCACACAAUUCAGCUUUCAAUGCUUGUUGAUAGGAAAAAAGUUGCCUGCAUGAAGAAAAAAUGAUAGACCCAUUGUCACCUCUUAGUACCAUGCCGGCACCCGCUCAGCCAUCAUCAGCAUAAGAUGAGUCCAUAUGGCUCGCUACUUUGUAUUAGAGUGAAGUGGAUCACAUAUCCCCAAAUUGUUUUGAGUGUUAAUGUAUACUACAUGAUAACCCACAAGUGUAGGGGAUCGCAACAGUCUUCACGAGUAGUGUUACACCCUAAUUUAUUGAUUCGACACAAGGAAAGCGAAAUAAUAUUUAUUGAUCUUAGCAGUUGAGUUGACAAUUCAACCACACGUGGGAUUUCCUUCUACAACAAACAUUUAGUAGCAUGGUAAAAUAGUAUUAGUAAUAGUAACAGUAACAACAACAGUUUUGUAAUGAUGUAGAAGUACCAACAUCAAUAGUAACUUGGAAAGGAUCAAUAUAUCAAAAGCUUAGGCAUUUGGAUCGGUGAUGGAUGAGUAUAAUGGAUAACAUUCAUCAUGUAACAGUUACACACUAGAGCGACAUAGAACUAGCUCCAAUUCAUCGAUGUAAUGUAGGCAUGUAUUCUGUAUAUAGUCAUUCAUGCUUAUAGUAAGAACUUGCAUGACAUCUUUUGUCCUGUCCUCCCGUGGCAAUGGGAUCCAUAAGGAAACUAAGGGAUAUUAAGGCAUCCUUUUAAUAGUGAGCCGGAACAAAGCAUUAACACAGUGAAUACAUGAACUGCUCAAACUACGGUAAUCACCAGAAAGAAUCCCAAUUAUUGUCACCUUGUGGUAUGCGGAUCAUGACACAUAAUAGGUGCAUACAUACGGCAAGAUAUGAUCCAAAACACUCUCAUAUUCAUGGGAAUAUAAUAGGUUCAUAUCUGAAAUCAUGGCACUCAGGCCCUAGUGACAAGCAUUAAGCAUAGCAAAGUCAUAGCGGAGGUUCUACAACCCACGUUACUACUAUGUCAUAUUCUCCGGAGAAUUGAACUAGGCACCAAUUCGCCCCUCGGUCUCAUCCCAGCAUGGGUGGUGGUGGCGGCGACAAGAUCGAGGGGGAUAGUAGUUCCACCGAGGGGUGGGGUGAGGUUCACGAAGAGUUUGGUGGGGGUGGGAGUGGAUCAGGUGGUGGGUGGUGCGUCACUCGCUAGUAGUAGCAUGGGAUGUCUCACAUGCACUAUAGCUAUUCAACUAGUAAUAGCACAGUCUCUACAUUCCACAUUACUACUAUGUCAUAUCCCCCGGAGAUAUCUACGAGUAGCGCGUUUUUUUCGUCAUGCACUACCAAUAAUAUUUACUAGUAAAGAGGGGAUAAUACAACACGCUACUAGUAAUUGGCAGUAGCGUGGGUCAAUAUAACGCGCUACUAGUAAGCGUCUACCUAUAGGGUUUCCCCUAGNNNNNNNNNNNNNNNNNNNNNNNNNNNNNNNNNNNNNNNNNNNNNNNNNNNNNNNNNNNNNNNNNNNNNNNNNNNNNNNNNNNNNNNNNNNNNNNNNNNNAAUGAUGUCACGACUUUGCGCGGUUCUAUCAAUUGCUCCACAGUAAUUUGUUCACCCACCGUCUACUUGCUUUCAUGAGAGAAGCCACUAGUAAACACUACGCCCACCGGGUAUAUUCACAUCUAUCGUUUACACCUUCGCUUUUACUUUGCUUUGUUACUUUGUUGCUUUCAGUUAUCACUUGGCAAACAAUCUAUAAGGGAUUGACAACCGCUUCAUAGCGUUGGGAGCAGGUUCUUUGUGUUUGUGCAGGCACUUGUGAUACUCCUUCGCUGGAUCGAUACCUUGGUUCUCAAAACUGAGGGAAAUACUUACCACCGCUGCGCUACAUCACCCUUUACGCUUCGAGGGAACACCAACGCAAGGCUCCAAGGCAAUGGGGGAAAUCCUUUGCAUAUUUUCCUAGGAAGUCCCUUAAGGCGUAGCCGUAGCAGAAGGAUUCCUGGUGCCGUAGCACAUUUCUGGCGUCGUUGGAAGGUCUUUUGUUGCAGGAGCAGAAGUAUUUCUGGCGCCGUUGUCGCGGAAGGAGAGAUCUAUCCAAGUAGGUCUCACAAACUCAUCUCUUGCAUUUACUUUUUUGCCAGUUGCCUCUCGUUUUCCUCUCCCCCACUUCACAUUCACCGUUUUCAUUUGCCUCUCUCCUUUGCCGUUUUCUUUUGCCUUUUGCCUUUUUACCGUUUUCCUUUGCCGGUUUUCUUGCUUUCUUGUUUGCUUGUUUGUUUGUUGAAGUCAUCAUGGCUGAAAACACCAAACUUUGUGACUUCUCGAGCACUAAUAAUAACGAUUUUAUUAGUACACCGAUUGCUCCCGCCACUAGUGCGGAAUCGUAUGAAAUCAACGCAACAUUGCUGAAUCUUGUUAUGAAAGAGUAAUUCUCUGGCCUUCCUAGUGAAGAUGUCGCAUCCCAUCUCAAUACCUUCAUUGAGCUUUGCGAUAUGCAAAAGAAAAGAGAUGUGGAUAAUGACGUGAUUAAGUUGAUGCCUUUUUCCUUUCUCGUUGCGAGAUCGCGCAUACUUGGUUUUCUUCUUUGCCUAAAAAUAGUAUCGAUUCUUGGGAUAAGUGCAAAGAUGCUUAGAUAUCCAAGUAUUUUCCGUCGGCUAAGAUCAUCUCCUUACGUAACGAUAUCAUGAAUUUCAAGCAACUUGAUCAUGAACACGUUGCACAAUCUUGGGAGAGGAUGAAGCUUAUGAUUAGAAAUUGUCCCGCUCAUGGCUUGAGUUUGUGGAUGAUUAUACAAANNNNNNNNNNUACGCUGGCUUGAAUUUCGCUUCCCGCAAUAUCUUGGACGCCGCCUCAGGUGGAACGUUCAUGGAAAUCAUGUUAGGAGACGCUACCAAACUCCUAGACAAUAUCAUGACCAACUACUCUCAGUGGCACACUGAAAGGUCACUUGCUAGCAAAAAGGUACACGCUAUAGAAGAAAUUAACUCGCUUAGUGCUAAGAUGGACGAGUUGAUGAAUUUGGUUGCUAGUAGAAACGCUACCGUAGAUCCUAAUGACAUGCCACUAUCUUCCUUGAUUGAGAGUAGCAACGCUAGUUUGGCCUGAAUUUUGUUGGUAAGAACAAUUUUGGCAACAACAAUGCUUUUAGAGGAAACUAUGUUCCUAGGCCUUUUCCUAGUAACUCCUCUAACAAUUAUGGCAAUUCUUACAACAACACUUAUGGAAAUCACAACAAAUUACCCUCUGAUUUAGAGAGUAAUAUCAAAGAGUUCAUCAACUCUCAAAAGAUUUUCAAUGCGUCCAUAGAGGAAAAACUACUCAAAAUAGACGAUUUGGCUAAGAGCGUUGAUAUGAUGUCUUGUGAUAUUGAUUCUUUGAAAGUUAGAUGCGCUCCUCCCAAGGUCAACUUGUAUGAAACUUUGAAAGCUAUGCGCGUCUCCAUGAAUGACAGCAAAGAAAGAACCGCCCAAAUUCGCGCUAGACAUGAAUGGUUUAAAAGGGUGCGUUCUAGUGAUGCAAAUCACGAAGAUCUUAAAGUGCUUGGUGUGUCUCCUCUUAAAUCUUUGUUUUCAUGUGUCAAACCUAUUGAUGAAGGGGUUGGAUAUGAAUCCACUGUUGGGGAACGUCGCAUGGGAAACAAAAAUUUUCCUACGCGCACGAAGACCUAUCAUGGUGAUGUCCAUCUACGAGAGGGGAUGAGUGAUCUACGUACCCUUGUAGAUUGUACAGCAGAAGCAUUAGAGAACGCGGUUGAUGUAGUGGAACGUCCUCACGUCCCUCGAUCCGCCCUGCGAACAAUCCCGCGAUCAGUCCCACGAUCUAGUGCCGAACGGACGGCACCUCCGCGUUCAGCACACGUACAGCUCGACGAUGAUCUCGGCCUUCUUGAUCCAGCAAGAGAGACGGAGAAGUAGAAGAGUUCUCCGGCAGCGUGACGGCGCUCCGGAGGUUGGUGGUGAUCUUGUCUCAGUAGGGCUCCGCCCGAGCUCCGUGGAAACGUGAUCUAGAGGAAAAACUAUGGAGGUAUGUGGUCGGGCAGCCGUGAGAAAGUCGUCUCAAAUCUGCCCUAAAAGCCCCAUAUAUAUAGGAGGAGGGAGGGGGACCUUGCCUUGGGGUCCAAGGGAUCCCCAAGGGGUCGGCCGAGCCAGGGGGGAGGACUCUCCCCCCCCCCCAAAUCGAGUCCUACUUGGUUUGGUGGGAGGGAGUCCUUCCCCCUUCCCACUUCUUCCCUUUUUUUUUUCUUCUUCCCUUUGAUUUUUCUAUCUUGGCGCAUAGGGGAUUGGUGGGCUGUCCCACCAGCCCACAAAGGGCUGGUGUGACCCCCCCAAAUACCUAUGGGCUUCCCCGGAGUGGGUUGCCCCCCUCCGGUGAACUCCCGGAACCCAUUCAUCAUUCCCGGUACAUUCCCGGUAACUCCGAAAACCUUACGAUAAUCAAAUGAGGUCAUCCUAUAUAUCAAUUUUCGUUUCCGGACCAUUCCGGAAACCCUCGUGACGUCCGUGAUCUCAUCCGGGACUCCGAACAACAUUCGGUAACCAACCAUAUAACUCAAAUACGCAUAAAACAACGUCGAACCUUAAGUGUGCAGACCCUGCGGGUUUGAGAACUAUGUAGACAUGACCCGAGAGACUCCNNNNNNNNNNNNNNNNNNNNNNNNNNNNNNNNNNNNNNNNNNNNNNNNNNNNNNNNNNNNNNNNNNNNNNNNNNNNNNNNNNNNNNNNNNNNNNNNNNNNUUCGUGCGCGUAGGAAAAUUUUUGUUUCCCAUGCGACGUUCCCCAACAGUGGCAUCAUGAGCUAGGUUCAUGCGUAGAUGUCUUCUCGAGUAGAACACAAAAGGUUUUGUGGGCGUUGAUGUGCGUUUUGCUGCCCUCCUUAGUCUUUUCUUGAUUCCGCGGUAUUGUUGGAUUGAAGCGGCUUGGACCGACAUUACUCGUACGCUUACGAGAGACUGGUUUCAUCGUUACGAGUAACCCCCUUUGCUCAAAGAUGACUGGCAAGUGACGGUUUCUCCAACUUUAGUUGAAUCGGAUUUGACCGAGGAGGUCCUUGGAUGAGGUUAAAUAGCAACNNNNNNNNNNNNNNNNNNNNNNNNNNNNNNNNNNNNNNNNNNNNNNNNNNNNNNNNNNNNNNNNNNNNNNNNNNNNNNNNNNNNNNNNNNNNNNNNNNNNNNNNNNNNNNNNNNNNNNNNUGUGGUGUUUGCGUAAGUAAAAUGCGAUCCUACUAGAUACCCUUGGUCACCACGUAAAACAUGCAACAACAAAAUUAGAGGACGUCUAACAUGUUUUUGCAGGGUAUGAUUGUGAUGUGAUAUGGCCAAUGAUGUGAUGUGAUAUAUUGGAUGUAUGAGAUGAUCAUGUUGUAAUAGAAAUAUCGACUUGCACGUCGAUGGUACGGCAACCGGCAGGAGCCAUAGGGNNNNNNNNNNNNNNNNNNNNNNNNNNNNNNNNNNNNNNNNNNNNNNNNNNNNNNNNNNNNNNNNNNNNNNNNNNNNNNNNNNNNNNNNNNNNNNNNNNNNCCCUCCCUUCCCACUUCCUCCCUCUUUUUUUCUUUUCCUUUGAUUUCUUUUUCUUGGCGCAUAGGCCCCCUUGGGGCUGUCCCACCAGCCCACUAAGGGCUGGUGUGUCUCCCCAAAGCCUAUGGGCUUCCCCGGGGUGGGUUGCCCCCCCGGUGAACUCCCGGAACCCAUUCGUCAUUCCCGGUACAUUCCCGGUAACUCCGAAAACCUUCCGGUAAUCAAAUGAGGUCAUCCUAUAUAUCAAUCUUCGUUUCCGGACCAUUCCGGAAACCCUCGUGACGUCCGUGAUCUCAUCCGGGACUCCGAACAACAUUCGGUAACCAACCAUAUAACUCAAAUACGCAUAAAACAACGUCGAACCUUAAGUGUGCAGACCCUGCGGGUUCGAGAACUAUGUAGACAUGACCCGAGAGACUCCUCGGUCAAUAUCCAAUAGCGGAACCUGGAUGCCCAUAUUGGAUCCUACAUAUUCUACGAAGAUCUUAUCGUUUGAACCUCAGUGCCAAGGAUUCGUAUAAUCCCGUACGUCAUUCCCUUUGUCCUUCGGUAUGUUACUUGCCCGAGAUUCGAUCGUCAGUAUCCGCAUACCUAUUUCAAUCCCGUUUACCGGCAAGUCUCUUUACUCCUUCUGUAAUACAAGAUCCCGCAACUUACACUAAGUUACAUUGCUUGCAAGGCUUGUGUGUGAUGUUGUAUUACCGAGUGGGCCCCGAGAUACCUCUCCGUCACACGGAGUGACAAAUCCCAGUCUUCAUCCAUACUAACUCAACUAACACCUUCGGAGAUACCUGUAGAGCAUCUUUAUAGUCACCCAGUUACGUUGCGACGUUUGAUACACACAAAGCAUUCCUCCGGUGUCAGUGAGUUAUAUGAUCUCAUGGUCAUAGGAAUAAAUACUUGACACGCAGAAAACAGUAGCAACAAAAUGACACGAUCAACAUGCUACGUCUAUUAGUUUGGGUCUAGUCCAUCACGUGAUUCUCCCAAUGACGUGAUCCAGUUAUCAAGCAACAACACCUUGUUCAUAAUCAGAAGACACUGACUAUCAUUGAUCAACUGGCUAGCCAACUAGAGGCAUGCUAGGGACGGUGUUUUGUCUAUGUAUCCACACAUGUAAAUGAGUCUUCAUUCAAUACAAUUAUAGCAUGGAUAAUAAACUAUUAUCUUGAUACAGGAAUUAUAAUAAUAACUAUACAUUUAUUAUUGCCUCUAGGGCAUAAUUCCAACAUCCACUUUGGUUGAAAAACGCCCCAAUGAUUCGGAGUCCACCUAUCUUGAUGAUAAAGGUGUGGAGAGUGGAGUAGAAGAAAUCAAAAUUUUGGGUAGUAAUGAAACUCCCACUUUGGAUUUCAAGGAAUUCAAUUAUGAUAAUAGCUCCUUGUUUGAAUGCAUUUCUUUGAUGCAAUCCAUUGCAAACUCUCCACAUGCUUAUAGCCAAAGCAAAUCCUUUACCGCGCAUAUCAUAGAUGCUAUGAUGAAAUCUCUUCAAGAGAAGCUCGAAUUAGAAGUCUCUAUACCUAGAAAACUUCAUGAUGAGUAGGAACCUACUAUCAAAAUCAAGAUAAAAAACUAUCAGUGCAAUGCUUUGUGUGAUUUGGGUGCUAGUGUUUCCGCGAUUCCAAAGUCUUCAUGUGAUAUUCUUGGUUUUCAUGAUAUUGAAGAGUGUUCUCUUAAUUUGCAUCUUGCGGAUUCUACUGUCAAGAAACCCAUGGGAAGGAUCGAUGAUGUUCUAUUGUUGCAAAUAAGAACUAUGUACCCGUGGAUUUCAUUGUACUUGACAUAGAUUGCAAUCCUUAAUGUCCCAUUAUUCUUGGUAGACCUUUCCUAAGGACUAUUGGUGCUAUCAUCGAUAUGAAGGAAGGGAAUAUUAGAUUUCAAUCCUUUAAAGAAGGGCAUGGAACACUUUCCUAGAAAGAAAAUAAGAUUGCCUUAUGAAUCUAUGGUGAGGGCUACUUAUGGUUUGAGCACCAAAGAUGACUAUACGUGAUUCCAUCACCUUUUGCCUAGCUAAGGGCGUUAAACAAAAGCGCUUGUUGGGAGGAAACCCAACGAAUCUAUCCUUUUUCUUUCUAUUUUGUGUUUUCCACACUUUCAUAAUUCUGUUAUUAUUGUGUUUUUUGUGUUUCUUUUUGCGUUUGUGCCAAGCAAACAUUAUGAUUAGUCUUGGGGAUGAUUGUUUGAUCAUGCUCGAAAAGACAGAAACUUUCUGCUCACGAAAAGAAUUUUCAUUUUUUUAUGUAAGAGAUUUUGAGUUGAUUCUUUUUGCUGCUGAUUUCUACGCAAAUUAUUCAGACUGUCGUAAUUUUUCAGAAUUUUUGAAGUACCAGAAGUAUACGAAAUAUACAGAUUGCUACAGACUGGUCUGCUGUUAACAGAUUCUGUUUUUGUUGUGUUGGUUACUUAUUUUGAUGAAACUAUGGAUAGUAUCGGGGGGUAUUAGCCAUGGAAGAUUGAAAAUACAGUAACUCAACAUCAGCAUAAGUAGAAUUUAAAUUUGCUACAGUACCUAAGGAAGUGGUGGUUUGCUUUCUUAUACUAAUGUUAUCGCGAGUUUCUGUUUAAGUUUCGUGUUGUGAAGUUUUCAAGUUUUGGGUGAAGUUCUUAUGGACAAAAAGAUAAAGAGUGGCAAGAGCUCAAGCUUGGGGAUGCCCAAGGCACCCCAAGAGAUUCAAGGAUGUCGUAAAAGCCUAAGCUUCGGGAUGCCCUGGGAAGGCAUCCCCUCUCUCGUCUUCAAUCCAUCGGUAAUGUUACCUGGGGCUAUAUUUUUAUUCACCACAUGUUAUGUGAUUUUGCUUGGAGCGUCUUGUAUCGUAGGAGUCUCUUAUUUUUUUGUGUCACAAUCAUCCUUGCUGCACACCUAGAGAGAGAGACAUGCACUCACCGUGAUUUUGUUGAGCUUCACUUAUAUCUUUUGGUAGACAAUUCAGCUCACAUGUGCUUCACUUAUAUCUUUUGAGCUAGAUACUUUUGCUCUAUGUGCUUCACUUAUAGAGCACAGCGGUGCGUGGCUUGGUAGUUGAUCUAUGCUUUGAAAGUAGUCUCAAAAGGGGUAGUUAUCCAAAGGAAUACGAAAACUUCCACCUUCAUGUGCAUUGAAUAGUUAGAGAAGUUUGAUUCAUCUCAAUUAGUUUUGAGUUGUGGUUUUGGUAAUAUUGAAGUUAUGCUAGUAAGGUGUUGUGGAUCUAGAAAUACUUGUGUUUAAGUUAGUGAUUCCCGUAGCAUGCACGUAUGGUGAACUGCUAUGUGAUGAAGUCUGAGCAUGAUUAGUCUUUUGAUUGUCAUUCUUUGUGUGGCGGUCGGGGUCGCGCGAUGGUUUAUACCUACCAACCCUUCCCCUAGGAGUAUGCGUUGAAUGCUUUGUUUCGAUUACUAAUAAAACUUUUGCAACAAGUAUAUGAGUUCUUCAUGACUAAUGUUGAGUCCAUGGUUUAGAUGCACUUUCACCUUCCACCAUCACUAUCUUCUUAGUGUCGUGCAACUUUCGCCGGUGCACAAAACCCACCAUUAGCCUCCCUCAAAACAGCCACCAUACCUACCUACUAUGGCUUUUUCAAAGUCAUUCCGAGAUAUAUUACCAUGCAACUACCACCAUGACAUGUGCCACCAUGUCUACAUUGUCAUUGCAUGAUCGUAAGAUAGCUAGCAUGAUGUUUCCAUUAAUGUCUAUGCCAUGCUAGAUCAUUGUCACGGUACACUACCGAAGGCAUUCCAUAUAGAGUCAUCGUUGCUCUAAGUUUUGAGUUGAAAGUGUGAUGGUCAUCAUUGAUGGAGCAUUGUCCCAUGUGAGGAAAUAAAAGAGGCCAAAGAUACCCACCAAAAAAAAGAGGCCAAAGAGCCCACCAAAAAAAUGAGAGAAAAAAGAGAAGGGACAAUGCUACCACCUUUCCACACUUAUGCAUAUUAAGCACUAUGAUCUUCAUGAUUGAGAGUCUCUCGUUUUGUCACCAGCAUAUAGCUAGUGGGAAAUUCUCAUUAUAUAACUUGGCUUGUAUAUUCCAAUGAUAGGCUUCCUCAAAAUUGCCUUAGGUCUUCGUGAGCAAGCAAGUUGGAUGCACACCCACUAGUUUUCUUUAAGAGCUUUCACAUACUCUUAGCUCUAGUGCAUCAUUUGUAUGGCAAUCCCUACUCAUUCACAUUGAUAUCUAUUGAUGAGCAUCUCCACAUCUCAUUGAUAUGCCUAGUUAAUGUGACCAUCUUCUCCUUAUUUUGUCUUGCAACCUCCACCACACUCCACACCGCUUAUAGUGCUAAAACCAUGGCUCACGCUCAUGUAUUGCGUGAGAGUUGAAAAGGUUUGAGAAAGUAAAGGUGUGAAACAAUUAAUUGGCCAAUACCGUGGUUGUGCAUGAUUUAAAUUCAUUGUGCAAUGAUGAUAGAGCAUAGCCAGACUAUAUGCUUUUGUAGGGAUAACUUUCUUUUGGCCUUGUUAUUUUGAAAGUUCAUGAUUACCUUGCUAGUUUGCUUGAAUUAUUAUUGUUUCCACGUCAAUAGCAAACUAUUGUUUUGAAUCUAAUGGAUCUGAACAUUCACGUCACAUAAGAGGAGUUACAAAGGACAUCUAUGCUAGGUAGCAUGAAAGCAUCAAAAAUUCAUUCUUUAUCACUUCCCUACUCGAGGACGAGCAGGAGUUAAGCUUGUGGAUGCUUGAUAAGUCUCAAACGUACCAAUAAUUUUUGAUGGAUUCAUGCUGUUAUCUUGUCAUCUUUGGAUGUUUUAUGUACCUUUUAUAUCAUUUUUGGUACUAACUUAUUAAUUCAGUGCCAAGUGCCAGUUCCUGUUUUUUUGUGUUUUUGGCUCUUUUCAGAUCUGAUUUUGGAACGGAGUCCAAACGGAAUAAAAUCCCCAAAAUUAUUUUUUCCCAAACGAAGGAAGAUCAGGGGGGCCUGUGGCCAAGCCAGGAGGGCUACAGGGAGCCCAGAAGCCCCCACUCCGCCACCCAGGGGGGGCGGCGGUGGGCAGGCUUGUGGCCUCCCUGGCGCCCCCCUGACCUAGAUCUUGCGCCUAUAUAUUCCCUAAAAAUCAGAAAAAAAAUCAAGGGAUCCACGGAAAUACUUUUCCGCCGCCGCAAGCUUCCGUUUCCGCGAGAUCUCAUCUGGAGACCCUUCCCGGUGCCCUGCCGGAGGGGACUUUGUAGUUGGAGGGCUUCUUCAUCAUCAUCAUCGUCCCUCCAAUGACUCGUGAGUAGUUCACUUCAGACCUAUGGGUCAGUAGUUAGUAGCUAGAUCGCUUCUUCUCUCUCUUGGAUCUUCAAUACAAAGUUCUCCAUGAUCUUCAUGGAGAUCUAUCCGAUGUAAUCUUCUUUGGCGGUGUGUUUGUCGAGAUCCGAUGAAUUGUGGAUUUGUGAUCAGAUUAUCUAUGAUAUAUAUUUGAGUCUUUGCUGAUUUCUUAUAUGCAUGAUUUGAUAUCCUUGUAAGUCUCUCCGAGUCUUGGGUUUUGUUUGGCCAACUAGAUCUAUGAUUCUUGCAAUGGGAGAAGUGCUUGGUCUUGAGUUCUUACCGUGUGGUGACCUUUCCCAGUGACAGUAGGGGCAGCAAGGCACACAGUUGUGUAGUUUCCAUCAAGGGUAACAAGGUGGGCUCUGUCGUAGAUAUGAGAUUGUCCAUCUACAUCAUGUCAUCUUGCUUAAGGCGUUACUCUGUUCUUUUGGACCUAAUACACUAGAUGCAUGUUGGAUAGCGGUCGACGUGUGGAGUAAUAGUAGUAGAUGCAGAAAGUAUCGGUCUACUUGUUUUGGACGUGAUGCCUAUAGAUAUAAUCAUUGCCAUAAAUGAUGUCACGACUUUGCGCGGUUCUAUCAAUUGCUCCACAGUAAUUUGUUCACCCACCGUCUACUUGCUUUCAUGAGAGAAGCCACUAGUAAACACUACGCCCACCGGGUAUAUUCACAUCUAUCGUUUACACCUUCGCUUUUACUUUGCUUUGUUACUUUGUUGCUUUCAGUUAUCACUUGGCAAACAAUCUAUAAGGGAUUGACAACCGCUUCAUAGCGUUGGGAGCAGGUUCUUUGUGUUUGUGCAGGCACUUGUGAUACUCCUUCGCUGGAUCGAUACCUUGGUUCUCAAAACUGAGGGAAAUACUUACCACCGCUGCGCUACAUCACCCUUUCCGCUUCGAGGGAACACCAACGCAAGGCUCCAAGGCCACGGGGGAAAUCCUUUGCAUAUUUGCCUAGGAAGUCCCUUAAGGCGUAGCCGUAGCAGAAGGAUUCCUGGUGCUGUAGCACGUUUCUGGCGCCGUUGGAAGGUCUUUUGUUGCAGUAGCACAGCCUCACUUGUGAAACGGCAUGUUCUUCACCAUUAAGCUUGACAAGACAUUUGAUGUUUUUACGGUACGCAAUGAUGACCACUAUUUUUUCUUCUUUACUUUUGUGUUCCUUUACUUCAAUGUGUAAUUUCUAUUCUUUACAAUUCGGCUAGUGCAUCCCGUGCAAUGCAAGAUUGUAUGUCUUGCAGAAGUUCGGUUUCCAAGAAAUGGAGAAUAUGGAGACAAAGAGAGCUCACCUAAGGACUAAACAUGGUUUCAUAUUUGUGAUUACACUAUACAAUUCAAUUAAUCAUUCGCAUUUUGAUUGCUCAACUUGGGAAGCUCUAGGCAAGGCAUUGCUGGGGAACGUUGCAUGGGAAACAAAAUAUUUCCUACGCACACGAAGACCUACCAUGGUGAUGUCCAUCUACGAGAGGAGAUUUGGAUCUACGUACCCUUGUAGAUUGCACAACAGGAAGCGUUUAAGAAACGCGGUUGAUGUAGUGGAACGUCUUCACGUCCCUCGAUACGCCCCACGAACCGUCCCACAAACCAUCCCGCGAUCCAAUCCGAUCUAGUGCCGAACGGACGACACCUCCACGUUCAGCACACGUACAACUCGACGAUGAUAUCGGCCUUCUUGAUCCAGCAAGAAAGACAGAGAAGUAGAUGAGUUCUCCAGCAGCAUGAUGGCGCUCCAGUGGUGGUGAUGAUCUACUCCCGUAGGGCUCCGCCCGAGCUCCGCAGAAAUCCGAUCUAGAGGUGGAACUAUGUGGUUUAGGGUUGAGUUGCACGUGGCAAAAGUUGUCUCAAAUCAGCCCUAAAAGACCAAUAUAUAUAGGAGGGAGGGGGAGGGGCUUGCCUUGAGUGCCAAGCCCUCAAGGGUGCGCCGACGCUAGGGGAGGAGGUGGACUCCACCCCAAUUCGGUUUGGGGGAAAGAGUCCACUCCUUCCUUCCCACCUCCCCUUUUUCCUUUUUCCUUUUCUUUUCUUUUGGUAUUUCUUUAUGUGGUGCCAUGGGCCCCUUGGGCUGAUUCCACCAGCCCACUAGGGAUUUGUGGCGCCACCCCAUGGCCUUGGGCUCACUCCCGGGUGGGUGGGCCCCUCCCGGUGAACUCCCGGAACCCAUUCGUCACUCCCGGUACACUGCCGGAAUUGCCCAAAACUUCCCGGUAACCAAAUGAAACCAUCUUAUAUAUCAAUCUUCGUUUCCGGACCAUUCCGGAAACCCUCAUGACGUCUGUGAUCUCAUCCGGGACUCCUAACAACAUUUGGUAACCACACAUAUAAUUCAACUAUACCAAAACAUCACCGAACCUUAAGUGUGUAGACCCUGCGGGUUCGAGAACUAUGUAGACAUGCCCCGAGGCACUCCUCGGUCAAUAUCCAAUAACGGAACCUGGAUGCCCAUAUUGGAUCCUACAUAUUCUACGAAGAUCUUAUCGGUUAAACCUCAGUGUCAAGGAUUCAUAUAAUCCCGUAUGUCAUUCCCUUUGUCCUUCGGUAUGUUACUUGCUCGAGAUUCGAUCGUCGGUAUCGACAUACCUAUUUCAAUCUCGUUCCGACAAGUCUCUUUACUCAUUCCAUAAUACAAGAUCAUGUGACUUACACUUAGUCACAUUGCUUGCAAGGCUUGUGUUUGAUGUUGUAUUACCGAGUGGGUCCCGAGAUACCUCUCCGUCACACGGAGUGACAAAUCACAGUCUUGAUCCAUACUAACUCAACGGACACCUUCGGAGAUACCUGUAGAACACCUUUAUAGUCACCCAGUUACGUUGUGACGUUUAUGCACACAAGGUAUUCCUCCGGUGCUAGUGAGUUAUAUGAUCUCAUGGUCAUAGGAAUAAAUACUUGACACGCAGAAAAAAAUAGCAAUAAAAUAACACGAUCAAUAUGCUACGUUCAUAGUUUGGGUCUAGUCCAUCACAUGAUUCUCUUAAUGAUGUGAUCCAGUUAUCAAGCAACAACACUUUGCACAUAGUCAGAAAACCUUGACUAUCCUUGAUCAACUGGCUAGCCAACUAGAUUGUUUUGUCUAUGUAUCCACACAUGUAUCUAUAUUUUCAUUCAAUACAAUUAUAGCAUGGAUAAUAAACGGUUAUCUUUAAACAUGAAAUAUAGUAAUAACUAUUUAUCAUCGCCUCUAGGGCAUAUUUCCAACAUGCAUAUGGAUUUUAGGAGGAUAUGGAAAUAACCUUCGAUAUUUGUCCUAAAGAUGAUAUUGAAGGUAAUAUCGACAUUUGGGUGGAUGUCGAUAUGCUUCCAAUUUUACCUCAGUGUGAGUUUGACAACCAUUUUGUUAAGUGAUUUGCAUUGUUUACUUAAAAAUAGUUGGUGUUCGUCCCUACUUAACUUGUUUACUUUUAAUUUACAAUUUAUUUAUCUUCUUAAAAAAACUCAAAAGACAUUAGACUAGACUUACUACAGUCAUGGCGCCGAUCUAACUUGGUUGGAGAAAACCCAUGUGAUCUCAUUUAUUGAUGAUGUUGAUGAUUAUAACAACAAUUAUGAAGAUAUUGGUAAAAAAUAUUCCGAAUACGUGCCACUAGUGCACGAGUUGAACCCUAAUAAUUUCCAUGUAGAUAGCAUGGUAAGAUUAGUUUUUUACUAUUGUGUCAUUAAUUAGUCCAUCUUUUGCAUGCAUAAUUUUUUAAGCAAAACUAUAUUGCUAACUAUGUUAUUAUUAUGUUCUUCAACAGAAAUUCCCGCCAGAGGUUGUGCCUGGUCUGAUGACUAUAGAAGGUCAUCAUUUGAAUGUUAUGAUCUUAUGGCCACGUGGCCUAUAUGUUUCCGCAAUGCAUAUUCGCUUUCUAGAAGAGAUGGGAGCCUGAAACUUAAAGGAUUUAACAAUUUAGUGAAAAGCCGUCGACAACUACUUGGCGGAGACGUGAACGAUUUGCACAUGCCACAUGUCGGAGAUAGGUGGAUCUCUAUUCUUCACAAUGGAGAGAGUGGAACUUACCCUUUUUAUGCUAUUUUACCCAGUAGAGGGUAGUAGGUUCUAACUAGGAGAGAAUAAUAUGUGCUAACCAAGGGAGAUGACCUUUUUUAGUUUAUGAUUAUUAGGAUGUUUUUAUGUUUUAUGACAUUUUAACUUGGUAUGAUUAAGAUGAUAAUGAGUUGCUAGAUGAUUAAGAGGAUGAUAAGUGCUUAUAUGAUUAAGAGGAUGAUGAGUGCUUAUAUGAUUAAGACGAUGAUGACUUGUUAGAUGAUUAAGAUGAUGAUAAGUUAUAUGACAAAAACUAGAUUAAAGUGGAUGGAUGCAAGUGACCAAGUUGAAUUAGAGGAAAAUAUUAUGUUGCAAUUUGUAACAUCAUAUUUUCUCUCUAACCGAACUUGAUCACUUGCACCCAUCCACUUUUAUCUAAAUGUUGUUUUUUGAAAAAUUAUUGUUGUUGUUGUAUAUUAAUAUGUAUAACCAUGUGAAAAUGCAAAAAAAUAAAUUUGCGGGAUUAGUAGUGGCACGGGUUAAAAAACAACGCUACUGGUAAAGACACAUAUCAGUAGCACAUGGUGGUUCGCAGCGCUACUGAUAUGUGACUUCACGAGUAGUGUUGGUCAUGAAGCGCGCUAUUGCUAAAAAUUAGCUAUAGCAUCAUAGCAGUAGUGCGCCUGCGGGCGCUAUUGGUAGCUAAAUACCGCGCGCUACUAGUAGGGUUUUCCCUAGUAGUGGGGUAAAAAAUGGAGAAGAUAGUCUCACAUCAACUAGACGUACCAACGGGCUAUGAGAUUCCUGUCGAUGGAUAUCGAUGCAAGGAGUAGGGAUUGCCAUGCAAAUGAUGCACUAGAGCUAUAAGUGUAUGAAAGAUCUCUGAAGCUAAGUGGGGUGUGCAUCCAACUUGCUUGCUCAUGAAGACCUCGAGCAUUUGAGGAAGCCUGUCAUCAGAAUAUACAAGCCAAGUUUAUGAAAAAGUGACUCCCACUAGCAUAUGAAUGAUAUAACAUGAGACUCUCUAUAUGAGGAACAAGGUGCCACUUUGAGACACAAGUGUGGUAAAGGAUAGUAGCAAAGUACCUUCUCUCUUUUUCUCCCAUUUUUAUUUCCUAAGUGGGACAAUGCUCUAAUAAUGAUGAUCAUCAUCCUUUUAUUUACUUACAAGUCAAUAUGAACACUGGUAGGACGAUAUGAGUCCGUGUGAAUGCCUCUGACAGUGUACCAGGAUGUGCAAAGAUCUAGCAUAACAUGUAUAAAAAUAUGAUGAAAUGUGGCUUUGCUACAAAUACUAUGUCAUCUCUAUAUGAUCAUGCAAAGCAUUAUGAUGAUGAAUGAACUAGUCAUAUGAAGUGACGAUGGAAUUUGCGUGGCAAUAUAUCUCGAAAUGGCUAUGGAAAUGCCAUGAUAGGUAGGUAUGGUGGCUGUUUUGAGGAGGAUAUAAGAAGGCUUAUGUGCAAUAGAGUGUGUCAUGUCACAGGGUUUGGAUGCACCAGCGAAAGUUGCACCGAUCCUCGAGGUAAGAACGGGUGAUGCACGGUACCGAAGAGGCUAGCAAAUAUGAGGAGUUGCGAUUGUGUAUGUCCAUGGUGUCACAUUAGUCAUGAAGAACUCAUGCACUUAUUGCAAAAUUUUAUUAGUUUUAUCACAAAUCAAAGUACUACUUGCAUGCCACGAGGGAGAGGGUUGGUAGGAAUUAACCAUGGCGAGACUCCGACUCAAAACAACACUAGGAUUUCAAUGAGGAAUAGAAAUGCUCACAUAUCAUCACCAUGCCCUUUUAAUAUUUAGAUGAACAAGAAGUUUAACAUCUCUUAAUAUUGACACCUCUCUGAAUUAAUAGUGAUGCACUCACACCUUUUUCAUAUCACCACAUCAAUAUCAUUAACCCAUAAUUUCUCUAUAUGUGCUACAUGAUGGUUCUAAUUAUCACUCAUUGAACACCCAUUACUUUUGAUCUAGUAUUAUGGCCCAUGCAAAUUAACGCCACUAUUUAUUUAACUCUAAAACAAAUAUAGGUGAAGAACAAGAGCAUAAUAUUUCUAUAAAAUCUACACGCCAUUGUGCUCAAAAAUAUAUAAGUGAAGUAAUAGAGCAACUGCUACGCUCAAAAGAUAUAAGUGAAGCACAUAGAGUAUUCUAAUAAAUUAUGAUGAGGGUGUAUUUCUCUCAAAUAGGUGUGUACAACAAAGAAUGAUUGUGUGAAACAUAAAAUAAAAGCAAACAAAAUCAAAUUAUGCUCCAAGCAAAACUCAUAUCAUGUGAUGAAUAAAAAUGUAGCUCCAAGUGACAUACCGAUGGAUUGAGACUAAAGAGGGGAUGCCUUCCGGUGCAUCCUCAAGCUUAGACGCUUGAGUAUUCCUAGAAUAUUACCUCGGGGUUCCUUAGGAAUCCCCAAGCUUAGGCUUUUGCUGCUCCUCAUUCCUUUGUCCAUCGGGAUAAUACCCAAAACUUGAAAACUUCAAUCACGAAAAACUCAACAAAACUUCGUGAGAUCCGUUAGUAUAAGCAACAUAUCAAAUACUUUCAGGUAUUGUUAUAAGUUGAUUCUUAUUUUAUUUUAGCACAAGGUAUUGGAUUCUAACUUCUCCAUGGCUUAUACCCCCCGAUAAAAUUCAUAGCAUUAUCAAAACAAGCAAACUAUGCAAGAAAAAAAACAGAAUUUGACUGAAAUAGAAAAGUUUGUAGUAAUAUGUAAUGAACCUAUACUUAUGUAACUCCAAAAAUUCUGAAAAAAUAGUAAGACCCGAGGAAUUUGUAUAUCAAUAUUGUGUAAUAAAUUAGCUUAAAAAGAUGUUUUAGUAAAAUAAGAGAAAUUCUUCAGUGGACGUCAAAGUUUCUAUUUUUGCACCGUAUCAAUUAUACUCAUAAUACAAAUCAUUCCCAAGGAUUUACUUGGCACAAACACUAACUACAACAUAAAAACACAAUCAUUAGAGAGGAAAUAAUCAUGUUAACACAAACAAACACAAAGUAAAAAACAAAAAUAAAGAUAACUAUUGGGUUGCCUCCCAACAAGCGAUAGUGUUUUACGCCCCUAGCUAGGCAUAUUGCAGAUUUUCAAGUGUUUUCAUCUUUGACACUUCACCCAUAAGUGGAUCUAAUGAUUAAGGUGGUCUAAUUAUCUUUCUAGGGGAGCGUUCCAUUCCUUUAUUUAAUGGAAAUUGGAACCUUAUGUUUCCUGCACAAUGAAAUCUACAUGCACAUUAUUUUUAUUUGCAAUUAUCAGCACAUCAUUUAUUCUACCCAAGGAUUUCUUAAUGGUAGAAUCUCCAAGAUGCAAGUUUAGGGAACAUUCUUCAAUAUUAGUGAGACCAAGCACAUCACAUAAAGAUUUGGGUAUAGUUGAAACACUGGCAGCAAGGUCACAAAAAGCAUUCAUUCAUACUUAUUUAUCUUAAUUUUGAUAGUAGGUUGCCACUCAUCAUGCAACUCUCUAGGAAUAGAAACUUCAAGCUCAAGUUUCUCAUCAUAAGCUUUUACCAUAGCUUCUACUAUAUGUUGAGAAAAGCUUUGUUUCGUUCAUAAGCAUUGGGUGAGGUAAUAAUGGAUUGCAGCAAGGAAAUACAUUCUACUAAAGAUAAAUUAUCACAAUUAAAGUCCUUGUAAUGCAAAAUAGUGGGCACAUCACUAGUUAAAAUUUUGACCUCUCCAAACCCACUUCUUUCAGUUUUAGCGUUAAAAUCAUCACCCUCCAAGCAAAAGGGAUGCUUCUUAACUAGAGUUGACUCAUCUCCAGUCCCUUUAUCAUUAAUAUUCAGAGAAGUAAGCAAAGAUUCAAUAGGAUAAGUACCAAUCAUUUUAAGAUCUUCAUCAUGAUUUCGGUAAAAACCGGGUGGAAGAGAUUUUUCUAGGAAUUCCCGCUUAGAUUUCAACUUAGCGGUCCUAUCCUUACUUUCAUUAAUGGAAACUUGGAUAGAUUUAAUAGUCUCAUUAAAAUCAUGCAUAGAAGGCAAGGCUUUUUUAAGAAUUUCUACAUCAAGAGCAAUUCUAUCCAUGUUUUUAGCCAAAGUAUCAACAAUAAACAAUUUUUCUUCUACCAUGGUAUUGAAAACCUUUUGAGAAUUAAUGAAUUCCUUAAUUGUGUUCUCAAGAUUAGAGGGUAUCCUAUUAUAAUUUGCAGAAGAAUUACCAUAAGAAUUGGCAUAACAAUUAGGAACAUUACGGGGAUAUGGCCUAGCAUUGAAAUUACCCCUAUAAGCAUUGUUGUUGAAAUUAUUUUGCGAGACAAAGUUCACACCAAUAGCAUCAUUAUUUUUCUCAAUCAAGGUAGACAAGGGCAUAUCAUUGGGAUCAACAUGAGUAUUUUUAUUAGCAACCAAUUUCAUAAGAGCAUCCACUUAUUCACUCAAAGCAGCGUUUUCCUCAACAGAAUUUACCUUCUUACCGGUUGGAGCUCUCUCGGUGUGCCAUUGAGAAUAAUUGGCCAUGAUGUUGUCCAGAAGUUUUGUGGCUUCUCCCAAGGUCACAUCCAUAAAGGUACCACCUGCAGCUGAAUCUAGAAUAUUUCUAGACACAAAGUUUAGUCAAUCAUAGAAAUUUUGGAUAAUCAUUUUAUAAGUUUAAACCAUGAGUGGGGCAAUUCCUUAUCAUCAAUUUCAUUCUCUCCCAUGCUUGUGCAACAUGUUCUUGAUCAUGUUGUUUACAAUUCAUUAUUUAAUUACUAGGGGAGAUGAUCUUAGCAGGAGGAAAAUACUUGGCAAUAGAAACAUCUUUACAUUUAUCCCAUGUUCCAAUACUAUUACGUGGUAAAAAUGAAAACCAAGCUUUAGCUUUAUUUCCUAGUGAAAAGGAAACAAUUUUAAUUUCACAAUAUCAUUACCCAUAUCCUUUUUUCUAUUGCAUGUUACAAAGUUCAACAUAGGUAUUGAGAUGUGAAGCGGGAUCCUCAUUAGGAUUUCUCAAAAAUUGCUCUUUCAUGACAAGAUUCAACAGUGCAACAUUAAUAUCGAAAGCCUACACACUAGCGGCGGGUGCUAUAGGAGUACUAAUAAAAUAAUUGUUAUUAAUAUUUGAGAAGUCACACAACUUAGUAGUAUCUUGUUACAUUGUGACCGAGCAAGCAAAAUAACAAGCAAGACAAGCAAAGGUAAACAUGUUUGUAUUUUUAUUUUUAUGAGAUAAACUAAAUAUACCAGCAAAUAAAAAGGAGAACAAGUGAAUGCAAAUUUGUGUGGAGUUACUUGAUAGUUGGUGACGUUAUUCCCCGGCAACAGCGCCACAAAUCCUUCCCGAUACUUGUGAUCUGCGGUUUUCUGAGAAGAAGAACGGUUUAUCGCAGCACAAUGUGGGUAAGUAUUUCCCUCAGUUAUGAAACCAAGGUUUAUCUAACCAGUAGGAAUAUCAAUGACAACCGUCUUCAGUGGAUGCACACAAAAUAACAAAAAACUUGCACCCAACGCGGGCAAGAGGGUUGUCAAUCCUCUUGUACUUGUUAUUUGCAAGCGAGUGAGGUGUGUAGAUAAUUUUAGAUAGUAAAAAAUAAAGACAGAUAAAUGGCAGCAAGGUAUUGAAGGUUUUGUAAAUAUGUUGUCAAUAGACCCGGUGGCCAUAGUUUUCCCUAAAGGCAUAUCUCAGGAAAAGUAGCAUACGAUGGGUAAACAAAUUACUAUUGGGCAAUUGACAGAAAAACGGAUAGUUAUGUGAUAUUCAUGGCAAUGAUCAUUUCUAUAUAGGCAUCACGUACAUAAGCAAAUAUGCUGACUCCUACCUGCACCUAUUACUGUUAAUCCACUCAUCAAACGCUAUCUAGCAUGUGAUACGUCCAUUUUGCAUCAUGCUUUCAUGUUGAUAUUUAUUGCUUUUUGGGCUGUUAUAUUACUUGUGGUACCAUAUUUAUGCCUUUUCUCUCUUAUUUUGCAAGGAUUAUUUGAAGAGGGAGAAUUCACGCAGCUGGAAUUCUGGACUGGAAAAGGAGAAAAUCCUAGUCCACUAUUCUGCACAUCUCCAAAUGCCCUGAAAAUUUACGUGGAUUUUUUCUAGAAUAUAUUAAAAAUACUGGGCGAAAGAACUACCAGAGGGGGGCACCAGGGCCCCACAAGCUAGCCCACCGCCACCACCCCCGUGGUGGCGCAGGGCAGCCUUGUGGGCAGCCCACUGGCCCACUAGCCCCCCUCUUUUUCUAUAUGAUGCAUCCUGACCUGGAAAAAUCAGAUGGGAGAUUUUUCGUGGUUUCGCCGGCGCCACGGGGCGGAACUUGAGCAGAUCCAAUCUAGAGCUCCGGCAGGACGAUCCUGUAGGGGAAAUUUCCCUCCUGGAAGGGGAAAUCGUCGCCAUCGUCAUCACCAACACUCCUCUCGUCGGAGGGGAGGCAUCUUCAUCAACAUCUUCAUCAACACCAUCUCCUCUCCAAUCCCUAGUUCAUCUCUUGUAACCAAUCUUCGUCUCGCAACUCCGAUUGGUACUUGUAAGGUUGCUAGUAGUGUUGAUUACUCUUUGUAGUUGAUGCAAGUUGGAUUAUUUGGUGGAAGAGUUUAUGUUCAGAUCCUUGAUGCUAUUCAUUACACCUCUGGUCAUGAUUAUGAUUAUGUCUUGUGAGUAGUUACUUUUGUUCCUGAGGACAUGGGAUAAGUCAUGCUGAUAAUAGUCAUGUGAAUUUGAUAUUCGUUCGAUAUUUUGAUAUUGUGUAUGUUGUUUUUCCCCUAGUGGUGUUAUGUGAACGUCGACUACAUAACACUUCACCAUAUUUGGGCCUAGAGUAAGGCAUUGGGAAGUAGUAAGUAGAUGAUGGGUUGCUGGAGUGGCAGAAGCUUAAACCCCAGUUUAUGCGCUGCUUCGUGAGGGGCUGAUUUGGCUCCACUAGUUUAAUGUUAUGGUUAGACUUUGUCUUAAUUCUUAUUUUGUAGUUGCGGAUGCUUGCGAGAGAGGUUAAUCAUAAGUGGGAUUAUUGUCCAAGUAAGGGCAGUACCCAAGCGCCGGUCCACCCACAUAUCGAACUAUCAAAGUAACGAACGCGAAUCAUAUGAACAUGAUGAAACUAGCAUGACAGAAAAUCCCGGUGUGUCCACGGGAGCGUUUUUCCUCCUGUAAGACUUUGUUCAGGCUUGUCCCUUGCUACAAAAGGGAUUGGGCCACUUCCUGCACCGUUGCUACUACCUGUUAAUUGUUACUUUUUGCUCGCUACGUUUCACCUCGCUACACAAUCACUUGUUACCGCUACUUUCAGUGCUUGCAGUUAUUACCUUGCUGAAAUCCGUUUAUCAGAGACUUCUGCUCCUCGUUGGGUUCGACACUCUUACUUAUCGAAAGGACUACGAUUGAUCCCCUAUACUUGUGGGUCAUCGGCAUGCAUCUGGAGUAUUAAGUAAAACAGAGUAAUGCAUGGAGAACAAUGACAUGAUGUAGACAAUGUAAACUCAAGCAAUGUAAAUAAACCCCAUCGUUUUAUCCCUAAUAGCAGUAACACAAAGACACAUCUUGUCCCCUUCUGUUACUGGGAUAUAAAAAUUCCCCAGGUUGAAACUACUACAAUGCACCUCUCUCAUCGAAGAAAUAUCGAUCUAGUUGGCCAAACUAUUUCAAUAGAUCGGAGAUAAUUACGAAGCUAUCAUAAUCACACACAUAAGAAUCAUAUAAGUAUUUAGAGAAUACUCAAAUAUUUAUCACGAAUAAUCUGAAUAAAAACCCACAAUUCAUCCGAUUCCAACAAACACACCGCACAAAAGGAAUUGCAUCGUGUGGAUCAAAGUGAAGAUGCAAUGAUCAUUGUAUUGCAGAUCAAGAGACAAAUAGAUUGCCAUCUAUAUACUAGCUAUGGACCCAUAGGUAUGUGGUGAACUAAUCACGCAUCAUGAUGAGGGUAGCAAGGUUGAUGAAGAGGGCAUCCGUGAUCGACCCCCCUCCGACAGGGUGCCGGAACAGAGCUCCACAUGAGCUCUCGUCGAAAUAAAGAAUUUCAGCGGCGUAAAAAAUGUUUCAGGACUGCUUUUGGGUUUUUUAGGUUAUCUGAGAAUUUAUAAGCUGGAGAACACAGUCGGGAGGGCCUCGAGGGGCCCAUAAGCCAAUAGGGCACAACCCCCCCAAAGGUCGUGUCGGGUUGGCUUGUGGGGCCCACGUGUGGCGCCAACCUUCUUCCGAUGCUUGGUGGUCUUCUUUUGGUCCAGCAAAAAUCUCCAAAAAGUUUCAAGUCAAUUGGACUUCAUUUGGUAUGGUAAACCUGAAAAGUGAAAACAUGCAGAAAAUUGUAACUUGCAGUAGGCACUAGGUAAAUAAAAUACCCCAAAAGUAUUCUAGAAUGAUAAUUUAUCAGCACGUAAAAAUCAAAAAUGAUAGAUACAUUGGAAAUGUAUCAAGGGACGUGGGCUGCGCGUAGGUAUGAUCUCGGCUCGGUUCAAUCCUGCAACCCGUGGCGCGUCAUGACGAGGCGUGGCGCGGUGAGGCGGACGACAAAGGAGGAGGAGCGUAUGAGGGGCUCUUCUCUUCUCAAGCUCCAAUAGCAUGUAGAAGAGAGACCCUUAUAAGGAGGUCCAGCUCCUUCUCCACUAGCAAGGUGGGACUAAACUUCCCACCACCUGUUGUCAUGCCACCUACAUGGGCCCUGUAACGACCAAGAUGCGGUCCUUUCCGAUCUGGGGGUCGAGGCCCCUGAAUAGGAAAGAAGCGCAUCUAAGCGUUUCGCAAGCAAGUAACAUAGCACAAAUACUAAAUAAAGUAGACAAUUCGGGAUUCAACUGUCUUCUUAUUAAUAACUCAGAGUACAACACAGAUACAAUCAAGGUAGUUUCGCUACGGACUACAAAACAUGGAAAAAUGCUAUGCUACCCUGCUGCAGGCCCACGAUCACGACCACGCCUCAGUCCUCUGGAUAGUUCACGUAGAGGCGGUCUGUCUCCUCGUCGUACUGCCACGCCAGCUGGGUGCCGUCGGGAUCAUCUGUCUCUAGGGUACCUGUACCUGCUGGGAGUUUCGGAGGAAUCCGUGAGCCACGGGGACUCAGCAAUCUAAGACCUUGGUGCCAGAACUAGUCAUGUUGNUUCCUGUACGCAAGAUAUACCGCUAAGGUAAGACAAGGCUAGCAGGACCUCCCGUCGUGUCGACGACCCUGAUAAGAGCCGCGUAUCUCAGUCUCAGGACACGACAGAUGAGCUAGACGUCGGGAUGGCUAAACCUCUGGGUGACCAGUGGGGCCCCGGACAUCGCUGAGGUGGGACCAACACUCAUGAGGAGCACUGGUCCGGGUUGUUGAUUAAAUUCCUCGGGGUAGCUAUUCCCUAUGUAGAUUAUUAUGUGAUUAGCAGAUUAAAACCAAAGUUGGGUCCUGUCGGACAAGCCUUAGCACUACGCGAUUUAUCAAGGGGGUCCCCAUAACAACCCCGAACGUGUUAGGAGCGAUCAUUAUGGAAUCAAACAACGGUAACCGGUAACUAAGGUGGCAAUGACGGAACCAAGCACCCGGCAAAAGGCUAGGCCUCCCGUCAUUUACCAAGUAUAUAGGUGCAUUAAUUAAAUAACAGAAUUUAAGGCAAUGAUAUCAAGCUCAUGUUAUCACAUGAGGCAAAGCACCUGCAACUAGCAAUGCUAACAUUAGUAGCUGAGCAAGCCUACUUAGCCAUGCAAGUUUUGCUAGGAAGGAGAACGGUGUUUUAGGGGCUCAUGGCAUAAGAAGAGGCAAUUAAUUUCAGUGUAGGCAGCGAGCAAUACGACAUGGAAACGAAACUAACAUAACAAGUCUAGAGAUGGAGUCAAGGUCAUAUCAUCUUGCCUGUGAUAUCCUCAGCUUGGAAUGGUUCUGGAUCGUCCUGCACGUACUCUCCUGACUCCACGUAUUCGUUCUCCGAUCCCGGUGCUACCCAACAUGAGAAUAACAGCCAAUGAACAGCAGCACCACAAGAUGCAACAAUCACAUGAUGCAUGAGAUGAAAAUUGAGCAUGCACCACUAUUUCUAACACUAGCACAAGCAAAAUAAACUACUGCAAGUUUCUGGACAGAACUGUACACUAAGCUAUUUUGACAUGCAUGAGAAUGACAUGAACAGAUGCGGCUCGUGAAAACGGUGCAAAACCAUAUAAAGAACAUUGCAAACGGAGCUACUGAUCAACGGGAAUCAACGAAACAAGAUAUGAAGCUCUACGUGGAAGAAUCAACACCACACUCACAAUUGGCACAAUUCUGGUAUUCCAGGUUGCCAAGACAUAAAACAAGCCAUCAUUGAUGGAAUGGAGCAAGGAAGAAGGCCACAACGUCAUCUAAGCACACACAUUGGUCAAAAUGACUACACUACAUAAUCUGCCACAAUCUGCAUAUUAGCUCUUUGGGAGCUACAUGCAACAAAGCUACAGGCCUCCAACCAUGACAAAUAAUAUAUGUGGCUGUUUCCCACCAAGGACACUACAAGCACCAGCAAGAAUCACAGCAAAAGGAAUUAAAAUCUAGAAGAUACAAGGCCACAAACUUUCCCAAAACCAUCAGAUCUCAGGGACUUAGUGAAAAUUCCUGCACGUGAGUUUUUGUCUCUGUUCUGAAGCUUUUUUACAGCAAUCAAAACACAAUCUACUGGACUCCAAAUGAUUUGAAAAUUGACAGGAAGCUUCACAAAUAUACCAGGUUCAAAAUCCUAGCACUGAACUAAGGCUAGUUCUCAACAGAAUGACCAGCACAUCCUCAUCUAUAAGAGAAGAAAAUGUUUCCAGAAUCCUAGACUUAGUGAAAUUUCAGAUUUCACUAAACUGGAAUAUUUCAGCCACAUGCCCACUUUGUCUAGGCAUAGUUUGCACACACAUUACACUCACUCACCUACGCAUACACACACACAUACAUGCACAAAAACUACUAACACACAAAGCUUAAACUCAAGGGCUUGUGCAAUUGCACAAGCAUGUGUGUAGAGUCACACACACACUUGCACACACACUCACCCUCAAGCAUUCACACAAACACACACACACACACACACACACAUUCAUACAUCCAUGCAUACACACAUAUGAACACAUACACCACAAUCACAUAUCUUCCUUACACCAUAUAACUUCUGGACAGGAAAAAAGGAAAACAAGAUGCACUACUUUAUGCCUAUUAUUUAGGCACAAGAUGGAACAGCAAAUAGCAAAGCAAAAUUAAAAGAAAGAGAGGGAAAAAAAUCAAAAGGGCAGGCCUGGGAUUUGAACCCAGGACCUCCUAGUAGCUGGCCUGUGGUGCAUCCACUCUGCUGUUGUCAUGAUUUUGACAGAGAGAUGGGCACAUAGCUAGUUGACCCUCUGCUGCUGCUACUACUAAGGACCGGGGAAAUAAAACCCAAAAAGGGGCAGUGCACCAUAGGGGACUCGAACCCAGCACCUGCCGAGAACAACCACGAUACACUUGCCACUGCGCUAUGCUACGAUGUCUGACAGAGGGGGAGGCCUGAAACAAGUGAACUACUACGACGCCCAGCUCGGCUCUGCACAGCGAGCCGACGACAGAGAGGUCGUCGUGCUCUCAGCUGCUGUUGUUGCUGCACGAGGAGACGGAAACAUCCUUGCUAUACUGCACGCCGGCUACCCACAUACCGCGGGCGCACAGCAACUACUGCAACACCAGCAACUAUACUCGAUAACGCACACCGCCACAUAUGAUGCUGCAGCUCGGGACAGUGACGGCUACCACCAAGAUCGCCGGAUCUCUAUGAGGUGGAAGGGAGGAAGGUGGACGGCUCACCUUGGAGAAGGAAGAGGAACCGCACGGUGGAGGAGGCCGGCUGGAGAGGAGGGAGACGCGCGGGAGAAGGCCCUGCUGCAGGUUGAUGUCGAACGGAGGUAGGCGAAUCAGAUCACCGGAGCCGACGCUUUGACGUGCUCCUGGCCGGCGUUGUAGAUGUCCCUCGACCUCACCGAGGACGAAAAUGGGGCGCAUGCACCGUCCUCGUGCCCCUGGACAUGGCCGCCGGCGCUGCUCGAUGGAGUAGGCGGGGUAGACGGCGGCGAGGGAUUCUCUCUCUCUCUCUCUCUGCUCCUACUCUACAGAGAACUUACCAAGGAGAGGGAGGAGAAAAGGAGGGAGGUGGCGGCGGCGCUGGAGGAAGGAGAGGGAACCCUAGGGAAGGAGGAAGGUUCCCUCCACCUUAUGUUACCUCGGGGGAGGCGCUUGAGCCACAGGAUCAAGCCAUGGAGAAUCGGUGGAGGAGGUGGAGUCGUACACAGUGACGUCAACGGGAGGUUGGAGAGGAACGGGCGCUGGGCUGCUGUUGUGCGAAGGGGUAUUGGGCCUGGGAGGAGAUGGGCUGCUGCUGCGAAGGUUUGAGAUUAAGAGGGAAAACCUGGCCCUCUCUAAUAUACAAACAACAUGAGAGCCACUAAUAUUUCUAGGAAAAACUAAGGCAUAAAUAAAAGAGAUAAAAUAUCCCUGGGCAUAAGGGAAUUAUGCCCCAAAUGAAUAAAAUACCGAAAAGGCUAAUUGGGCAACUAAAAUAAUUGCCAAACAGAUUUAACUAAAUCUGAAAUAAAGAAAAACCUCAAGCACAAGAGGUUUUAAAAACCCCUCUCCUACAUGCCCACACUCCAAAUAAAAUGGGCUAAAGGUGUAACAUUUAUAAAGCAGCAUAGGAGCAAAUAGGUUUUGAACUUGAGAAUUAAAGAGAGAAAGGUUUGAAACCAACAAGGGGUUUGAAAAACAAUGCCAAACACCACACCCUCAUUACUUCCCACCACAUCAACACAUAUGCCUCAACACAUGAAUUCACAAAAAUCACACCUAGCAAGAUCACAAGCAAUCACAACAAGAACUCAUGGCAUGAAACAUUAUGGUAUGGCAAAGAUGGUAUGGCAUGGAUGCAUGCAUGCAAAAGAAGAACACAAGGUGACACAUGAAAUCACACAUGCAUAGAUAGCUCUCAUGACAAUGUCAAGGUGGUCCCACAUGGAAGGUUACAAAAAGGGAAAGCUUUACACUUGGGGCACUACAAAUUCUCCCACACUACAAAGAAGAUCUCGCCCUCGAGAUCUAAGACUGAAAGAAAUCGGGGAAUUCGGAACGGAGGUGAUCCUCGCGUUCCCACGUAGCCUCUUUAUCGGAAUGGUGAGACCACUGCACUUUGAGAAACUUGACAGUCUUGUUACGGGUCUUGCGCUCAGUCGCCUCGAGAACCGCAACUGGAUGCUCACGAUAAGAAAGGUCUCGCUGAAGGUCGAUAUCUUGAAGGUGCACCGUGCGCUCGGGGUUCUUGAAACACCUCCGAAGCUGAGAAACAUGGAACACAUCAUGGACAUUUGCAAAGGUUGACGGAAGCUCGAGCUGGUACGCAAGGUCGCCCCUCUUGCCAACCACUCUGAACGGACCAACGAAACGAGGCGCAAGCUUGCCUUUGAUGCCAAAAUGCUGCAUACCCUUCACAGGCGACACCUUGAGAUAGACAAAAUCAUCAAGCUCAUACGACAUGUCAUGGUGCUUGCUAUCGUAAUAGCUCUUCUGACGGGACUGAGCUGCUCUGAGGUUGUCGCGAAUGAUCUGACACAUCUCCUCAGCUUCUUCUAUCAUAUCAUUGUCAAGGAUUUGACGCUCGCCUGUCCGGGACCAGUUGAGCGGAGUACGGCACUUCCUGCCAUAGAGAAUUUCAAACGGAGCCUUGCGAGAGCUAGCUUGAUAACUAUUGUUAUACGAGAACUCCACGAAAGGCAGAGAAUCGUCCCACUUCAUGCCAAAAGAGAUAACACAGGCUCUCAACAUAUCCUCAAGAACUUGAUUCACUCUCUCCACUUGACCACUAGUCUGAGGAUGGAACGCUGUGCUGAAGCGGAUCUUCGUGCCCAUCGCAGACUGAAAGGAGUCCCAGAACUUGGAAGUGAAGAUACUUCCGUGAUCUGACGAGAUCAUCAUAGGUACGCCGUGCAAAGAGACAAUCCUGGAGGUGUACAACUCUGCCAGCUGAGCUGCUAAAAUGGACUCCUUGACUGGAAGGAAAUAAGCUACUUUACUCAAUCUGUCGAUGACGACGAAGAUAGCAUCAUUGCCCUUCUUGGACUUUGGAAACCCGGUGACGAAGUCCAUCUCAAUGUGAUCAAACUUACACUCGGGAAUCGGCAAAGGCUGCAAGUGGCCCGCUGGUCUUUGAUGUUCUGCUUUCACCCUUCGACAUGCAUCACACUCGUUUACGAAUUGUGCAAUUUCACGUUUCAUGCGAGUCCACCAGAAAGUCUGCUUCAAGUCAUGGUACAUUUUGGAACUUCCAGGAUGAAUAGAGAGCAGAGAGUUAUGAGCUUCUUCCAUGAUCACCUUCCUGAGAUCACCUUUCGGGACGACAAGGCGAUCCUCGAAAAACAAUGUGUCCCUGGCAUCAACAGUGAAACACUUAUACUUAGGGAGACUCUUUCCCACGCCAAUUUUGACCUUUUUCACCAUAGCGUCAAGUAGAUGAGCUGCUCUGACCUGAUCUUCCAAGGUAGGAGAGAUCUGUAGGUUCGCAAGAAAACCCUCAGGAACCAGCUGAAGAUUGAGCUUCCCGAAAAACUCAGAAAGACCCGGCUGGAGAGGUUGCAGAAUCAGACUGUUGCAAUAUGCCUUCCUGCUGAAUGCAUCUGCCACAACAUUUGCCUUGCCUGGCGUGUACUCAACACUCGGAUUAAAAUCCUGGAGCAUUUCCACCCAACGUGUUUGCCGAAGAUUCAAGUUAGGUUGAGUGAAGAUAUACUUGAGACUCUUGUGAUCGGUGAAAACUUCAACCUUACGUUCCAACAAGAGAUGUCUCUAAGUCAUCAAGGCGUGCACAACAGCUGCUAGCUCGAGAUCAUGCACAUGAUAGUUCUUCUCCGCAGGCUUCAGCUGCCUGGAGGUAUAAGCAACCACCUUCCUAUCUUGCAUCAAGACUGCACCGAGAGUCCGAGACCCUGGAGAGAAGCAUCGCAAAACACCUAGUACGGCUUGGAAUCAUCCGGAGGGGCCAAUACCAGAGUGGAGAUAAGCUUCUCUUUGAGUGUAUCGAAAGCCAGUUGACACUCUGGAGACCAAACAUACUUGACACCCUUCUGAAGAAGACUAGAGAGCGGCUUGGCGAUUUUGGAGAAGUUCUCAACGAAUCUUCUGCAAUAUCCGGCAAGACCGAGAAAGCUUCAAAGCUGCUUCACAUUCUGCGGAGGUUCCCAUUCAACAAUGGCUUGAACCUUGGACGGAUCAACCUUAAUGCCCUCGGCAGAGAUAAUAUGCCCAAGAUAAACCACUUCUUUCAGCCAGAACUCGCACUUGGAAAACUUGGCAUACAGCUUGUAUUCUCUCAGUUUAUCAAGCACCAACCUGAGAUGUCUCUCAUGUUCUUCCUCAUCCUCAGAAAAGACCAGAAUGUCGUCGAGAUAGAGCAAGACAAAUUCAUUCUUGUAUGGUGAGAAAAUAUAGUUCAUCAAUCGACAAAAAGUCGGUGGAGCAUUAGCUAGACCAAAAGACAUGACCGUAUACUCAUACGAGCCAAAACUAGUCCUGAAUGCCAUCUUCGGAGUGUCUUCCUCGCGAAUGCGAAUCUGAUGAUAGCCCAUUCUGAGAUCAAGCUUGGAGAAUACUUUAGCACCUUUCAACUGUUCGAACAACUCAGUUAUGUUCGGAAGUGGAUAUUUGUUCUUGAUUGUCUUCUUGUUCAAUGGGCGGUAAUCGACACACAGCCGGUCCGAACCAUCCUUCUUCUUGACAAAUAGAACACCACAUCCCCACGGAGACGAGCUUGGUCUGAUCAAACCCAAACGCUCCUGCUCAUCGAGUUGCCUCUUGAGUUCCUUCAACUCUUCUGGACCCAGCUUGUACGGCCGUUUGCACACUGGCUCUGUGCCUGGCUCAAGCUUAAUGAUGAACUCAACUUCACGAUGCGGAGGCAUGCCUGGUAGCUCUUCAGGAAACACAUCUUGAUAUUUGCAGACUACUGGAACUUGCUCGAUAUGAUUGAUCUCACCCUUUUCGUUCAAGGAGAACAAACGGAUUGUGUCAUCGCGCGCCGCGAAUAUAAUCACAUCCUCCGAAGAGUGGGUAAGCUUGACUUCUUUAGCUUCACAAUCAAUUGACGCCUUGUUCAUGGCCAACCAGUCCAUACCAAGAAUCAAGUCGAUAUCGGACUUGCCCAAGACAUACGGAGAGGCCAGAAAAGAAUAAUUGCCCAUCUUGAUAGAAACAUCGGGAGCAUGGGUACUAGCAUGCAUGAACUUGCCUGGUGAAACUACUGACAACGGACUAGGAAGCUCUUCAACAGGAACAUUAUGCUUGGAUGCAAAUGGAAUGGAGAGGAAGGAAUGCGAAGCACCAGAAUCAAAUAACACUUUAGCAGGACAAUCAUUGACAAGGAGGUUACCCAUGAUCACAUCAGAGGAGUUGUCUGCUUCGGCUGCAUUCACCAUGUUGACUCGAGCUGAUCUGGGGUUGAAUUUGACAAAAGCGUUGCUUGGAGGUUUGCCUCGAGGAGGAGGCGGCAGACGGAGCUGAGAAGUACAUUUGUUGGCAUAGUGACCCUUCUGCCCACAUUUGUGACAAGUGACAUCUGCUGGCUGCCGGAACUGAAUCUGAGGAGGCCCUUGCUUCUGAUGCUGGUAUCUCUGCUGGAAGCCAGGGUUGGGUGGGUGGGAAGAACCACGUCCACCUGAGUGCUUCAGCUGCUGUGAGUGCCGAGGAGGAGGAGGAGAAACCCAAAACCUCUGUUGCUUCUGAACCACCUGAGUCGAGGAAGAGCUGGAAUCUCUGAAGCGCUUCUUGGAGUUUUCCACCCUGAGCAAGGUUGCCUCUGCUCGGAGAGCUAAGUUGUAGAACUUGUCAAACUCCUCAGGAUCGUGCAAAGCAAGUGCUAACUACAAAUCCUCCUUCAAGCCACCCCUGAACUGGCAGAUCUUGCUCUUCUGAUCCGGGACAUCCUGCAACGCGUAACGGGCCAGCUCGUGGAACUCGACAUUGUACUUGUACACAGAAUUGCUGCCCUGCUUCAAGCGCCUGAACUUCUCACGCAUCUCCUCAACAAAACUGGAAGGGAUGUAGUGGGACCUGAAGUCACGACAAAACUCGUCCCAAGACAUCACCCUGCCACCUCUGGAGUCCUUAAGCUGCUGCCACCAAAUAGAAGCCUGUCCCUUCAACUGAAACGUUGCAAACUUGACAUAGUCCUCCGGACGCACAUUGCUACACUCGAAAUGCUUGUUCAUAUCACGGAUCCAAUCUUCCGCAUCAAACGGCUGGUCGCAAGAAGUGAACGUCUUAGGCUGGUUUGCCACCCUGCUGAAAAUUGCCCUGUUGAUGAUUGGCUCUCUCCUGGAUCAACUGCAACAGCAUCUGAGUGUUUGCAUUAGUAGCUGCCAUCAUCGCCUGCCAGGCCUCUGCAGGAGGAGGCGGCGGCGGCGGAGGAGGAGGAGGUGGAGGCGGCAUAUCCUCACGCGCUGGGGUCUGACGAGUCGGUGGAGCCAUCCUGAAGACGGACAACAUAUUAGUCCACAGAAUAAUUGAAGAUAUUGCUGAAUCAAAAGACAGGAAUAUCUGAACAGAAUUUAGCAUUGCACUCGAGCAACAUAGCAAGAGUGCAUCCUCAAAGUAACAGACGACAAAAUUCCGAUAAGGACCACUGCAAACAAGUGUGAGCUAGAACUGCUCGGAACAAACAUAUGAUCGAGAUUUCCCAAACCUCAAUCAAGCGUUUGUAGGAAGAUAGUCCUAUAAGAUACUACUAGAUAUCCCACCUAUGAAUUCCCGAAAUAACUGGUCAUGCAAUCAGGUACACGGAUACAAGGAGUAUUUCACACAACUCCUAAACUAACCCGUCACCUGUAUCACAUCCUUCAACACACAACCAGCAUCUCAGACCUUCAUCUACAACAGAUCCUCGUGAUCACAACGAUACCAAGUGUGGUAAUACCCCCAAACAAUCUACACCAGUACUGGGGACAUCGGGGUUAUCUCACCACUACCCGUAUUGAAGCAAUAAUGAACACCCUCCGUUCUUAGAUACUCAGAAAUCUGAAUGAUGGCGAUGUGCGCGAUAAUCCCUGGAGCUCAACUCCCCUGAUACUUAGAGCAGAUAGGAGGCACCAGGACAUGAUUCCGUCACAUCGAAAUCAUAUAGAUUUCACAAAUACCCGCGUUAUCCUAAAAAAAUUUGAGCGAGAAAAGGAGUAGAGUUAAAGAUUUCCUAGGACGGGAACCUCACCAGAGCAUAGAAGAGGAGAAAAAAGAAUCCUACUCUCCGAUAUAACUACGACUCAAAACAUUUUCUAGACUCGACUCGGCCAAAUACGAUCACACAAAGGCUCCUAUGGUCGUAAGGCUCUGAUUACCAACUUGUAACGACCAAGAUGCGGUCCUUUCCGAUCUGGGGGUCGAGGCCCCCGAAUAGGAAAGAAGCGCAUCUAAGCGUUUCGCAAGCAAGUAACAUAGCACAAAUACUAAAUAAAGUAGACAAUUCGGGAUUCAACUGUCUUCUUAUUAAUAACUCAGAGUACAACACAGAUACAAUCAAGGUAGUUUCGCUACGGACUACAAAACAUGGAAAAUGCUAUGCUACCCUGCUGCAGGCCCACGAUCACGACCACGCCUCAGUCCUCUGGAUAGUUCACGUAGAGGCGGUCUGUCUCCUCGUCGUACUGCCACGCCAGCUGGGUGCCGUCGGGAUCAUCUGUCUCUAGGGUACCUGUACCUGCUGGGAGUUUCGGAGGAAUCCGUGAGCCACGGGGACUCAGCAAUCUAAGACCUUGGUGCCAGAACUAGUCAUGUUACUAGGUAGGGUAGGGGUGAAGUGUAUCAGGCUGCAGCAUCCUAUGCUUGAUUAAGUGGCUAACUUACGCAAAGUAGAAGUGAAGCUGGUCUACGCUAACGGUCGGGAUUACUUGAUCACUAAGUGAUCCUGAACACCUACCUACGGCAUUCAUAACCCCACCGUGUUCCCGAUCGAAGAGAGAUCUUCGAAGGGACAGUCACGGUUACGCACACAGGUGGCAGUUUUAUUAGCUUAUGUUUAAGUUCUCUAAUACCGGAUGCUAACAAAAUAUUCCAAGUUGCCACAUAACCGCGGGCACGGCUUUCCGAAAGAUUAAACCCUGCAGGGGUGCCCCAACUAGUCCAUCACAAACGAACACAGGCCGCAAAGGCAUCCUCUAUCACGAAUCUCGUGAUCUCGUCGGAUUCCUUAGAGGAAAAGCUCAACUCUGGGGAAAACCAAAGCUUCACUGGGAUUCCUGUACGCAAGAUAUACCGCUAAGGUAAGACAAGGCUAGCAGGACCUCCCGUCGUGUCGACGACCCUGAUAAGAGCCGCGUAUCUCAGUCUCAGGACACGACAGAUGAGCUAGACGUCGGGAUGGCUAAACCUCUGGGUGACCAGUGGGGCCCCGGACAUCGCUGAGGUGGGACCAACACUCAUGAGGAGCACUGGUCCGGGUUGUUGAUUAAAUUCCUCGGGGUAGCUAUUCCCUAUGUAGAUUAUUAUGUGAUUAGCAGAUUAAAACCAAAGUUGGGUCCUGUCGGACAAGCCUUAGCACUACGCGAUUUAUCAAGGGGGUCCCCAUAACAACCCCGAACGUGUUAGGAGCGAUCAUUAUGGAAUCAAACAACGGUAACCGGUAACUAAGGUGGCAAUGACGGAACCAAGAACCCGGCAAAAGGCUAGGCCUCCCGUCAUUUACCAAGUAUAUAGGUGCAUUAAUUAAAUAACAGAAUUUAAGGCAAUGAUAUCAAGCUCAUGUUAUCACAUGAGGCAAAGCACCUGCAACUAGCAAUGCUAACAUUAGUAGCUGAGCAAGCCUACUUAGCCAUGCAAGUUUUGCUAGGAAGGAGAACGGUGUUUGGGCUCAUGGCAUAAGAAGAGGCAAUUUAAUUUCAGUGGUAGGCAGCGAGCAAUACGACAUGGAAACGAAACUAACAUAACAAGUCUAGAGAUGGAGUCAAGGUCAUAUCAUCUUGCCUGUGAUAUCCUCAGCUUGGAAUGGUUCUGGAUCGUCCUGCACGUACUCUCCUGACUCCACGUAUUCGUUCUCCGAUCCCGGUGCUACCCAACAUGAGAAUAACAGCCAAUGAACAGCAGCACCACAAGAUGCAACAAUCACAUGAUGCAUGAGAUGAAAAUUGAGCAUGCACCACUAUUUCUAACACUAGCACAAGCAAAAUAAACUACUGCAAGUUUCUGGACAGAACUGUACACUAAGCUAUUUUGACAUGCAUGAGAAUGACAUGAACAGAUGCGGCUCGUGAAAACGGUGCAAAACCAUAUAAAGAACAUUGCAAACGGAGCUACUGAUCAACGGGAAUCAACGAAACAAGAUAUGAAGCUCUACGUGGAAGAAUCAACACCACACUCACAAUUGGCACAAAUCUGGUAUUCCCAGGUUGCCAAGACAUAAAACAAGCCAUCAUUGAUGGAAUGGAGCAAGGAAGAAGGCCACAACGUCAUCUAAGCACACACAUUGGUCAAAAUGACUACACUACAUAAUCUGCCACAAUCUGCAUAUUAGCUCUUUGGGAGCUACAUGCAACAAAGCUACAGGCCUCCAACCAUGACAAAUAAUAUAUGUGGCUGUUGCCCACCAAGGACACUACAAGCACCAGCAAGAAUCACAGCAAAAGGAAUUAAAAUCUAGAAGAUACAAGGCCACAAACUUUCCCAAAACCAUCAGAUCUCAGGGACUUAGUGAAAAUUCCUGCACGUGAGUUUUUGUCUCUGUUCUGAAGCUUUUUUACAGCAAUCAAAACACAACCUACUGGACUUCAAAUGAUUUGAAAAUUGACAGGAAGCUUCACAAACAUACCAGGUUCACAAUCCUAGCACUGAACUAAAGCUAGUUCUCAACAGAAUGACCAGCACAUCCUCAUCUAUAAGAGAAGAAAAUGUUUCCAGAAUCCCAAACUUAGUGAAAUUUCAGAUUUCACUAAACUGGAAUAUUUCAGCCACAUGCCCACUUUGUCUAGGCAUAGUUUGCACACACAUUACACCAAGUGAUAAAAUGACACCACUAUGGUGUAGAGCAAAACCCCUACUACUAUCACACAAAAACUCAUGCCCUUGGGCUCCACCUAUUCCAUGGAAUCAAGGAACAAACUUGCAACAAAUCUGAAUAUGUCAACUCCAUAAAGUAUCCUAAUGGCAAAACAAACUUCACCACUGCAUUCCUUGGGAGAUUCUACCCCAAAACAUAUAUAAUUUGUGAGCACUUACUUGGAGCAAGUGAACACAAACUAGAAAAGAAAAUCUACAUAGAAUCACCUAUAGAGAUUACUGCAUCAUCACAUGUGCAAAAUCACUAGAACAACUCCCACAUACUCCAUUGCACACUAUUACAAGGCCAACGGUGGCAUAAGUUCAACACCAAGCUCAUGGACAAACCCACUCACAACACAAUUGAGCAAGAACAAGCACACACACUCACUCACCUACGCAUACACACUCACAUGGGUGUGUAUGCAUAAGUGUGUGGGGAGACACACACACAUGCACAAAAACUACUAACACACAAAGCUUAAACUCAAGGGCUUGUGCAAUUGCACAAGCAUGUGUGUAGAGUCACACACACACUCACCUUCUAGCAUUCACACACACACACACACAUUCAUACAUCCAUGCAUACACACAUAUGAACACAUACACCACAAUCACAUAUCUUCCUUACACCAUAUAACUUCUGGACAGGAAAAAAAGGAAAACAAGAUGCACUACUUUAUGCCUAUUAUUUAGGCACAAAAUGGAACAGCAAAUAGCAAAGGAAAAUUAAAAGAAAGAAAGGGAAAAAAAUCAAAAGGGCAGGCCUGGGAUUCGAACCCAGGACCUCCUGAUAGCUGGCCUGUGGUGCAUCCACUCUGCUGCUGUCAUGAUUUUGACAGAGAGAGGGGCACAUAGCUAGUUGACCCUCUGCUGUUGCUACUACUAACGACCAGGGGAAUAAAACCCAAAAAGGGGCAGUGCACCAUAGGGGACUCGAACCCAGCACCUGCCGAGAACAACCACGAUACACUUGCCACUACGCUAUGCUACGACGUCUGACAGAGGGGGAGGCCUGAAACAAGUGAACUACUACGACGCCCAGCUCGGCUCUGCACAGCGAGCCGACGACAGAGAGGUGGCGGUGGCGCUGGAGGAAGGAGAGGGAACCCUAGGGAGGAGGAAGGUUCCCUCCACCUUAUAUUACCUCGGGGGAGGCGCUUGAGCCAGAGGAUCAAGCCAUGGAGAAUCGGUGGAGGAGGUGGAGUCGUACAUAGUGACGUCGACGGGAGGUAGGAGAGGAACGGCGCUGUGCUGUUGUUGUGCGAAGGGGUAUUGGGCCUGGGAGGAGAUGGGCUGUUGCUGCGAAGGUUUGAGAGUAAGAGGGAAAACCUGGCCCUCUCUAAUAUACAAACAACAUGAGAGCCACUAAUAUUUCUAGGAAAAACUAAGGCAUAAAUAAAAGAGAUAAAAUAUCCCUGGACAUAAGGGAAUUAUGCCCCAAAUGAAUAAAAUACCAAAAAGGCUAAUUGGGCAACUAAAAUAAUUGCCAAACAGAUUUAAUUAAAUCUGAAAUAAAUAAAAACCUCAAGCACAAGAGGUUUUAAAAACCCCUCUCCUACAUGCCCACACUCCAAAUAAAAUGGGCUAAAGGUGUAACAUUUAUAAAACAGCAUAGGAGCAAAUAGGUUUUGAACUUGAGAAUUAAAGAGAGAAAGGUUUGAAACCAACAAGGGGUUUGAAAAACAAUGUCAAACACCACACCCUCAUUACUUCCCACCACAUGAACACAUAUGCCUCAACACAUGAAUUCACAAAAAUCACACCUAGCAAGAUCACAAGCAAUCACAACAAGAACUCAUGGCGUGAAACAUUAUGGUAUGGCAAAGAUGGUAUGGCAUGGAUGCAUGCAUGCAAAAGAAGAACACAAGGUGACACAUGAAAUCACACAUGCAUAGAUAGCUCUCAUGACAAUGUCAAGGUGGUCCCACAUGGAAGGUUACAAAAGGGAAAGCUUUACACUUGGGGCACUACAGGCCCUUAGAGAAUUUUUUUUCUGAAAUUGCCAUAUGAGCCCUAGGCCCAUCUCAGACUUCAACAAUCCCCCAUCACAUCUCAAGGGACCAUUUUGUCCUUUGUUCCAAUUACCGUUUUGAUAUACCAGCAUUUUAGUGAAGACUUGUUAAGCUUGAGUUUCACCUAGAACACGUAGCUACACUCCUUCACAAUUGAACAAUGGACUGUGCCUUGAAUUGUUAGUUUUGCGGAAAGAAGUUUCACCAUAUAUCUUACUAGUACUAGGUUGUUGAAGGCUGACCCCUCGGGUGGAGCAUAUUAGUCACACUCCUUGCCUAUUCAUGAGUUUACUAAAGAUGACCCCAAUCUCAUAGACUAUGACCAAUUGUCAGGCUCAUAUAGGUGUGUUACUUCAAAGAUCGCUAUGUAGGACAACAUCUUGCUUACAUAUAAGCUUUAAAACAUAUUAAGACAGUAGUCAUCCUACCAUACAAUAUCCGAGAGUAUUGCAUCUCCAACGGAGUGGGUUGUAAAGUUACUCUCCUCAGUUCACCACUGGCCUGUUUUCCUAGGUCCUACUUCAUGGGAUCUCCAGUCACAUAGGUUGGGUUACUGCCAUGGCAACUCAUGUGGGUCUCAUACCCAUCUCCCUCGAUGUAGUAUCGAUCACAACACGUGAUAGCCCUUUAGUAAAGGGAUCUGUCAGAUUCUUAGCAUGUUGGAUGUAAUCCAACACUAUCACUCCGAAGUUUCUUAAAUGUGUGACAACCUUCAAUCUCAUUCUUAUAUGUUUGUUGGAUUUCAUGUUUUCCUUUUAACUCUUCACUCUGAAAAUAACUGCCUCGUUAUCACAAUUCAUAAGGAUAGUUAGAACCGGCUUCUGAACCACUUGCAAGUCCAUCAAAAGAUCUCGAAGACAUUCUGCUUCGACACGAGAUGUGUCUAAUGCCAUUAAUUAUGCUUCCAUUGUAGGUCUCGUUAAGAUCGUUUGAUUGCAAGACUUCCAGGAAACAAUACCACCUCAAAGGGUAAACAUAUACCCAGUAGUGGCCUUCAACACAUCAGCAUCAGAGAUCCAAUUCGCAUCACUAUACCCUUCAAGUACCGACGGGUAUCUAGUAUAGUGAAGUCCAUGGUUCAUAAUACCUUUCACAUAGCGCAUAAUUCUUUCAACAACAUGCCAAUGAACAUCACUCGGAUUGGCAAAAAACCGGCUUAGUUUGCUCACAGCAAACAUGAUAUCAAGCCCGUUGUGCUCGCUAGAUAUAUAAGUGAACCAAUGAUUUGAGAGUAUCUCAAUUGGUCUCUAGUUGUGCCUCUAAACUUUUGAAUCAGCACACUAGGAUCAUAUGGCGUUUGAGUAAUUUUAAAGUCCGAAUAUCCAAAACGACUCGAAAUAUUCUCAACAUAAUGGGAUUUUUAAAGUGUAAUCCCACCCUCAUCAUCUCUCAAUAGCUUGAUGUUCAAGAUAACAUCACCCACCCCAAGGUUCUUCAUCUCAAAGUUCUAAGACAGAAAAGGCUUAACCUCCUCAAUCACUUUGAGGUUGAUUCCAAAUAUGAGUAUGUCAUCAACAUACAAGCAUAGUAUAACUCCUUCGCCCCCACCACGGCGAUAGUAUACACAUUUGUCAGCUUCAUUUACAUCUAAGCUAACAAAUGUCAGAGUUGCAUUGAACUUCUCAUGCAUUGCUUAGGUGCUUGUCUCGGACCAUAUAAAUACUUCAACAACUUACACACCUUUCCUUCGUGAUCAUCUAUCACAAAGCCAUCUAGCUGUUGCAUACAGAUUUCCUCGUCUAGCUCUAUAUUCAGGAAAGCCUUCUUGACAUCCAUUUGAUGGACGAGAAGACCAUGCGAGGCUGCGAAUGAGAGUAGUACUCGAAUGGUGGUUAGUCUGGCUACAGGUGAAUAAGUGCUGAAUAAAUCUUCUUCUUCUUUCUGGGCAAACCCUUGGCCUUAAGCCUAGCCUUGUACUUUUCAGUUGUAUCAUCGGGCCUAAGCUUCUUUUUGAACACCCACUUACAUCCCAAUGGUUUGCAACCAUAGGGACAUUCAGUAAUUUCGCAAGUUCCAUUAGCCAUGAUGGAAUACAUCUCUUUACGGACCACAUCUUUCCAGUAGUCAGCAUUUGGAGAUGCGUACGCUUCUGAAAUAUAAUUGAGAUUAUCAUCCACGAGGUACACAACGAAAUCAUCACCAAAGGUUUUUGCGGUCCUUUGUCUCUUGCCCCUACAAAGGGUUUCCUUGUCAUACUCCUCGGGAUGUUCAUCAUGUGUUUGUUCAUAAUAUUCCAUAAGAAUGGCAGGCUCAGGAGUCUCCUCAGAUUCCUGUCUAGAAGUAAUUUCCAUAUCUAUCAUGGGGAAAACAUCCUCGAAGAAUGUAGCAUCCUUAGACUCCAUAAUUGUACCGACAUUCACGUCAGGUACCUCAGUUUUCACUACUAGAUAUAUAUGGCCAACGCUAUUCUUAGCAUAACCAAAAUUAAUGCAGUCCACUCACUUUGGUCCAAGCUUACGCUUUUUGGAGAUCGUCUCAUUGAAUUUCGCCAAGCUACGCCAAUUACGUAAGUACGAGAGUGUUGUCCUUCUCUUCGACCACUGCUCAUAGGGAGUGACCUCAUUAUCUCAUGACAUGAAGUCAAUAUAGCCUCCCCCACCAUGCGUUGGAUAAACCCGAUGUAUCUAACAUGGCGUUAACCAAAUCAGUUAGAGUACGAUUUUUCUGCUCAGCAACCCUAUUUGACUGGGGUGAAUAGGGAGGCAUCCUCUCAUGAAUAAUGUCGUGUUCUGCAUAGAAAUAAUCAAACUGAUUAAAGAAUUACUCUCCACCACGAUCUGAUUAGACUCGUUUAAUUUUCUUUUCAAGUUGGUUCUCAACUUCUGCCUUGUAGAUUUUAAAGUAGUGUAGAGCAUCAUCUCAAGUAUUUAACGGAUACACAUAGCAAUAUAUAGUAGACUCAUCUACCAAUGUCAUGAAAUAUUUCUUCCACCUUUAGUCAACACACCAUUCAUCUCACAGAGAUCAGAAUGUAUGAGUUCUAGUGGAGCCAAGUGUCUCUCCCCCACAGCCUUGUGAGGCUUGCAAAGUUGCUUUGCUUGAACACACGAAUGCCACUUUGAACCUUUGGCUAAAGUGAAACUCGGAAUUAAAUUCAGUUUUGCUAGCUGAGACAUAACACCGAAACUAAUGUGACAAAGACGUGAAUGCCAAACUUCAGAUUCAUUAACACUCGAAUGAAUAUUGUUCACGACUUUAUUACAAAAAUCUGCACGGGGAAGGCGGAAUAGACCUCCGCAUUCAUAACCUUUUCCAACAAAAAGUCUGUAUUUCAUAAGAACUACUUUAUUAGUCUGGAAGACGAACUUAAACCCUUCUCUACACAGAAGGGAGCCACUAAUGAGGUUCUUUCUUGAUGACAGGGACAUGUUGCAUGUUCUUCAGCUGCACGAUCCUUCAUGAAGUAAACUUCAGAUCGACCCUGCCAACACCAAGAAUAGAAGCACUCGCGCCAUUCCUCAUCAAUACGGACCCAUGACGUGUGACCUGGUAAGAAGAGAACACUGAGAUGUCAGCACACGCAUGAAUAUUCGCACCUGUGUCCACCCAUCAAUCGGUGGACUGACAAACUGAAAAUACAGUAAAUAAAUUAUCAUACCCAGAUGCACCAAUUUCAUUGUUUCCCACAAUCAUAUUGGCAGACUUGGAGUCUGACCCUGACUUCUUGUACUUGUUUGGGCACUUCGUGGCCUAAUGUUCCUCAGAACCACAAUUGAAGCAACCAUAUCCUUUCUUGUUCUUCUUGAAGGUCUUCUUACCCUUUUUCUUAAAGUUGAUAUUUUUUUGGACAAAAUUAUUUCCCUUGGGCUUGUGAGAGUUGAAGUUCCUCUGAUGUACCAUAUUGGUGACAGGAGUACUUUCAGCCCCUUUUCCAUGCGAGUGUUUUGCUCUCGAGUUUUGCUCAACACUCAGAUGGAUGAUGUCAUCCUUUAUUGAGAAUUCACGCCUCUGAUGUUUCAUAGUGGUAGCAAAGUUCCUCUAGAAAUUAGGGAGCUUAGCGAUUAUACACCCCGUGACAAAUUUUCCCGAUAAAUUGCACUUAAGAACCCCAAACUCUUUAGCAAUGCAUAUUAUCUCAUGAGACUGUUCCAACACAGAAUGGUUAUCAACCAUUCUUUAAUCAUGGAACUGCUCCAUAACAUACAUCUCGCUCCCAGCAUCGAUGGCUUCGAAUUUAGAUUCGAGCGCCUCCCAAAAAUCCUUGGCAACCCGCACAUAUAAAUAUGUGUCAACCAACUUAUCUCCGAUCACGCUAAGAACUGCUUCGAAAAAGUAGACAACGGCGUCCCUGAACGCCUUCUCCUGUUCGGGAGUGAUCGUUCCUGUGGGAGUAACACCGGCUACCCAUAACACAUUCAUAGCUGUGAUAUAUAAGGUGGUCUUGGUCUGUCAACGAUAAAAUAUGUAUUGGUAAACUUGUCCGAUUUCAGUGCAACAGCAAAACCAUUACUCGAAAAAUUUCUACACAUAUUAGGUUUUUGGAUUAUUGCGUAAGUAGGUAAUUUUUCAAUUAAAUUAAUCCAUAAAAUAAUCACUAUCAUGACAUUGGCUAGAUUACUGACAUACUGAUUACGAAGGACACUAGCAUGUACUACACAUAUAGUAGAAACAUCUACUCAUAUAGCUAGUAUUGCUAAGACUGAAAUAGACAGGAGCGGGGUAAACGAGUUAUACCCUCCAAUCGGCUAGUUGGUCGUAGCAGCACCAAUGGCGGCGGUAGCAUUCUCGGUCGCCUUCUUGUCGGCUUCGACCUUAUCGAGGGCGAGACGAUCGGCGUCGGUUGGUGGAGACAUGGCGAUGGCGAAGGCGACACAGACGUAGAUGAAGCACAUGAAUGGAGGCGAGCAGUCGCCUAGUCGCUCCCCAGAAACCUAAUCGCCCCUCUCCCGUACAGGAUCCAGAGAGGCGGGGUUUCGGUGGCAUGCUCUCCCACCGACUGUGUGCGUGGUGAACAAGAUGGAGUCGCCAGCGACAGCAACAACAAAAGGAACGACAUGUGCGCGUGGAGCAGAUGUGAUCUAAUCUCGUGGCGGCUAGGGUUGGCCGAAGUCUCGCUUAUGUAGGCACGUCUAGGUGCACAGACGUGGGUUGCGCGUAGGUAUGAGCUCGGCUCGGCUAAAUUCCACAACCUGCGGCGUUUCGUGACGAGGAGUGGCAUGGCAAGGCGGACGGCGAUGGAGGAGUGUGCGGGGGCCUCUUUUCUUCUCAAACUCCGAUAGCAUGUAGAAGAGAGACCCUUAUAAGGAGGUCCAACUCCCUCUCCACUAGCAAGGUGGGACUAAAGUUCCCAUCAUCCCUUGUCAUGCCACCUAUAUGGACAACUCCAAUAGGUGAUGUAAACUAGAGAUGCAAAACCGGCCGUCCACCGCGUGACCGUUGAAGUAGUUGCGCAUCAACAUCUUAUGCACAUCCACCCGUUCUCUUCGAAUGAACGCACGACCAUAGGCGGAACCACCGUGAUUUCACUUCUUCCCAGUGCGCAUUUCCACUAGCAUUGCAAUGCCCUCUUCUUCGUUUAAAUCAAAUUCCUCAUCCGACGAGGAAUCGUCCAUGAAAGAGGAGUCACGCGAGCUCAUCUACAAUGCGGAUAAUCACCGUUAAACUACUUUCCAUCCCCAACAAAAAAAAACCUCAAGCUUCAUCGAAUUUUUACCUUCGGGAAUUCCGUCGAACACCUUACUUACAAGGUGUACAAAAUUGGCCGACUACAGGUUGGGCAGCCGUUGGCGGUAGCGGUUGCGGGAGGCAAUGACUACACAACAAAAGAGACGGCUCGUCCGGAGCUCCGCGCGGCAAGCGGGCGGCUUCACACGGUCGGAAGAACGUUCGAGGCUCGCGACCGUUGGGCGGGCGGAGUGCCGCUCCUCCACUAACUCAGGCGAGGGUUCUAGGCUUGGAUGAAGCUUACCCCAUCAUAGACCUUGCCGGGGAAGGCGUUUAGACCAGCCAUAGCCGCGGAAGAAGCUUCGAUUUGUCAGCGGCCGAAACUGAAUCGGCGGCUCCCGACAGCACGCCAGCGACGGGGGAGGGGGGCGAUGUCGUGGCAGGCCCGGUGGCCAUCAGAGCGACAUCGUUGAUUUGAAGUGCAUUUGGCCGUUGACGGAGUCGGGCAAAGGCGGUCGGUCGCAUGGAGGGGAAGGAAAGUGGUGGUUGAAUAGUUAGCAGGCGAAGGCAAAUUUACAUCUCGUGGAGUUGGAGAUGCAAAUUUGCACAGCAAAGUGCUAUAGGAUAUAUCUCCGAAAAGUGAAGAUGUAAUUUUUUAUUUUGCAUCUACAUCAUCUGUUGGAGCAACGUUUUUGGGCCUCGAAUAUGCAAAAGAUAGCCUAUUUUUGCAUCUACAUGUUCUAUUGGAGAUGCUCUUAAACACCAAUGAUAUAUACUACUCUCACAUAUGAAGUUCAAUUGGACACGCCACAUUUCUUCCUGUCCCCACGUUUCGGCUAAUCUUAUCUUACAUCAUCUAGAACAUAACUUACUUGAUGUAGUAUAUACAGUAUACACUGUUCUAAGUCCCUUGCAUGACGAAGCCAGGAACGACAUCGAGGAGGGUGCUUGAUGGAAAUGAUCGAUGCGCACAAACAUCAUAAGAUGAAAUUGGAUGGUGCAGAAAGCCCGUGCAGUGCUUUUAGAUGCGUGCAACCGUAAGGUGUCUCACAGAUCCACAGUUUAUGUAGGCCACUAGCUUGAAUGUUCCCCUUGCAUCAAUGCCAUUGUGGUGUCGAGGCCCUGCAUUGU
RNAcentral lists this long non-coding RNA (78232 nucleotides) under Hordeum vulgare. Its description in RNAcentral is "long non-coding RNA (HVUL_LNC007875)". Lineage: Eukaryota; Viridiplantae; Streptophyta; Magnoliopsida; Poales; Poaceae. The record is from RNAcentral.